RNAcentral lists this long non-coding RNA (66368 nucleotides) under Zea mays. Its description in RNAcentral is "long non-coding RNA (ZMAY_LNC000755)". The record is from RNAcentral. Lineage: Eukaryota; Viridiplantae; Streptophyta; Magnoliopsida; Poales; Poaceae.
AGUUAUCCAUCAAAGACCACACAAAAUAACCUCUCACAUCUGCUCCUUUCCUGCACAAAAGUAGCAAAGUUUUAUUAUUACCUGGCUGGAGAGCAGUUUACAUGAAAAGAUAAUUGAGGCAUGCAACAACCUUAUUGCAAAGCUCAAGUAAGUGAGGUAGUCACGAAUGUAAGUUGAUCUUUCAAUAUCAUUAAUUAUUUCUUCUGCUGUAGUGCUAAUAUUGGCUAUUUGGGCAUAACCUGAAAGAUAAAAAAAGGGUGAUCAAGAGAUCCAUACAGAUAUUUUUUAUGGUACCAGUGUACUACAAGUGUAAUAUAUGUAAAUAAGCAUGGAAGUGAAUCAUUGUUAUGCACAAAGGCAUAUAUUUUGUAUCUAAUUUGUAGAUUUUAGGGAACCUAGUAACCCACCGUUCUCUGUGAUGUACAAAGGUAUGCUUUUAUAUCUCUGCUUUAAAUACAUGACCAACUUCUCCAUGGAGCUUGGAACGACAUAGGUGUUUGCAACAGGUGUCUGCAAUAUUAGUUUAGUUGUGUUAGCUUGUGCAUAAUUAAUUUGUAACUAGGAUUCUUGUUGAAUAGAAUAAUGCAAUAUACAAUGCCGAUUUUUACCGGUUUUCCAAUGGGUAUCCCAUUUCGUUCUGUUGAUAUAGAAACUAAAGCUUCAGAAGGGUAGGCGUCCAUAUCACAUAGAGAAUAUAUGCAAUCCUUGACAUAGAAUGUUUGGUAGUGAUUUACCCCGAUGAAGUCAAUUUGGUUCUUCAGUAGUUUCUUCUCUCCUUCUGUAAAUUUUGGCAAGUUUGGACCUAAGAUUUGGCGCAUCUGGUGAGGAUAGUCACCAAAGAACAAGGGAUCCAAGAUCCUGUUUUAGCAUAUAUCAUCAAGUGAGCAUUCAAUCGUGAAGAUCAAAAGUUAGUUCCAAUCGUAAAAUGCUAGUAUGAUGGAAGGUUACUGAAUCAAUUGAUACCAUGGAGCAUCGAAAGACAGAGCUCGGCUUACUGCCAAGUGGUCCUCUGUGAUAUUCCUUAGUGGUUCAUACCAUCUUAGAUGUAAUGAAAUUCCUACAAAGCCACCUUGCUUGGACUGAGAAGGAUGGGGAACAAGGAAAACAAAUUAUACAACUUUCAUGAGUAUUUAAGAGCAAGCACACGGUUAGUCCCCACUCCCUUUUGAUCCAAAUAUUUCUUUUGUACCUUGUAAUUCUUUCUGUAGAUGUUGACCGUCUUUGCAUGAGCUAAUAUCAUGUUAUGCGCUGCAAUGUAGGGCUCAGUUGAUGAAUUCCCUGAAUCACAUUUCCCAUAUGGCUCGGAACAACGGUUGGGUGGAAAUGCCCCAAUGGAGUAUGCAAGCUUUACAAUAAGAUUUGGCUCAUUGAAUGUGACCCAGUGCUUUACUCGGUCACCAAACAUCUUGAAGCAAAGCUCAACGAAGUAGGUGAAGUCCUCCCUGAAUAGAAAUAAAGAAACAACCACAUAUGAACUUACGGCAUCUUCGUAGAUAAAGCUAUAAUAUAGGUGACUAACUGAAUUUGACUUACUGAAUCUCUGGGUUCAACCAAGAAUUGUAUCUUUCUUGGAGUUCUUCAGGUAUGUCAUAGUGGUUGAUCGUCACAAAUGGUUGUAUCCCUGCUCCAAGCGUAUCAAAUGUCAGGCCCAGAUGAAAUAGACUGGACUGAAAGGCGUGCUUGUUUUGCAGGAUGGCAUUUGUGGAGGGAGGUAGCUGCCCGCAUAAUAGCAGAACAGAAGGCGUACCUUUUUCUAGCAGUCCGUUGAUGAGGCUAUUGUAGAAUUUAACGCCUGCCUGAUUAACACCUCCGAAGCGACCCUCUGGCCAUGGAUAUUUGAAAGGUACAAGCAUAUAAUUUAAGUUAAACACCGGCACUAAGGAAGGAUCACGUGCGUGUUGUCGAGCUGGUAGCUGUGUCAGAAGUCAUUGACAGUUGGUGUAAUUCUGAGAAUGAGCUCACUUGGAAGAAUUCUCGACCACGACAAUGAGAAUCUGUAGGAGCUGAGACCAAUCGAAUGCAUCAUUUCUAUGUCGUCCUGCCGGUGCUGACUUUGUGUGAGAUUGUUGACCCCCUCAUCUUUCUUGAUAAAGUAUCUUUUUGUUUCUAAUGAUGCUUACCUUGUAUCGAUGAUAAUGGUCAGCAGCUACGUCGCCAUUGCUUCCAUCGUCAAUAUUUCCUGAUUUAUGGUUAAUAGCCAAGACUAAGACAGCAACAAAAUCAAGCACGUCUGUGAUUUUCACGAUUUCAGCACUCCACAGGGGCAACCGGCCCUUCGUGACCUCGUCGUGCAGUCCUCGCUCCGGUAGCUCGAAGGAACGUCGCGAUCCAACGCGCGGUGUCCUGGCGUCGUGAGCUUAGACGGGCCUAGUGCAAGCUGAGCGGCUGGAUGUGCUGGACAGCGCUGUCGAGCGGCGAGAGCCGUCGAGUAGGCCGACUUCAGACGAUCUGACGAAUCCGAGCCGAAGAGUCAUCCUAAUCGGGCCCUCUAUUUCCUAAGCCCGGCCCUCCCAGUUCUAGCUAGCUAAACAGAAGAUGCAUCAUGCAUUCACUAGCCAAAAAAAAAAAUGUUCACUUCCUCCCCUGAUUCAAGAGCGUGAAAUGAUUUUCUAACUGAGACAAAAAGAGAAAGAGGAAAGCGCAGUGCGCAAUGACCUUCUAAAUAGAUACGUCUAAUUAACAUGCAAAAUGUAUGAGCGUCGAAAUUAGGUUAAACCAUUUAAUUUAUGACAUCAAGAAGAGUGUUGAAAAAUAUUUAGUACAACAUAAUUGAAAGUACCAAGCAAAAAGAGAAGGAGAUGGUAUUGCCACCUGCUGAUCCGGUCUGGCUAAUUCCAUAUAUAUUGUCUAGAACUGGUUAGGAUGGUUCAUUAACCGGCCGAGCCGGUUUGCUUGCUGUGUCCGAAACUUAUCGUGCUUAAAUACGUUAAGCGACAAACAAACAACACAAAUUAUUAGUUGGAUAUGUAAUCAUGUCUAGAUUAUAAUAAUAUAUAAACAGAUCAUUAAGUGGUUAUAUAAUUUAUAAGUUGGAUUAUAUAAUCCUGAGAGGAAACAAACAUAGCCUAAGUUGAUUUAUAAAUUAGUAUUGGAUCUAUUUUAGCGUGUAGGUCAUAUUUUGGACUUGGUUUUUACUAUGAUGAUACCAACUCUUUCUAUAUGUGAGAGCAUUAUGGCUGAUUAAGGAUACCAAGCUUUCAAUCGUCAGAAAAUACAUCAUCUAAUUUAUUUACCAUACUUUCUCUCUAUCUUAUUGUUCAUCAGGAGAUUUUAUAGGUGACCUUAACAACCCUAGAGAAAUCUUCGCGUACUAUUCUCUGAUAGAUCUUUUCGAGAGGUGACUAAGAGUAGGGGGGCCUGGGUCGGGCGCGUAUCCUCUAACAUCGACUGCACUGACGUUGGGUCACUGCACGUGGCCCUAGGCCCACGCGUCAGUGACCCACCUUGACGUCAGAGGAUCUCGACCCGUCUGGACCACCCGGGCCAUGGCAUUGGGACGUGACCCCAAAUUUGUUAACUCCCACGAAAAUAUUAAAAUAUUAUAUGAUUAAUAUUUGUUAAAUGGUUUAAGUGUUUAAUAUAUAUAUUUCAUUCUUGUACUAGAUUGUAUCUCUAGACUUGAAAUAAUUGAUGAAAAAGAACAAAGGUAUUACUUUACAAUGAUGUUUUUUGUCAUGUAACUUUUAAACUACUUGUUUUUGCCAUGCUUUCAUCAAAAAUUGGUCCAUAUGGCUUUAGUCAAUCUUGGUUCUGCCAUUGCCGAGAGUUUACCGAUAAACGAAAAACGGACUCAAUAUCAGCCUAACCAAGACCUCAAUCUGUUUAGUUGAUCCAUUGCAUUUUUGUUGCAAUCAAGAUUAUUUACAACCACAGGCAUACUAAUUUUAACAAAAGCUACGAAAAUAUCCCAAGAAUCCCCUUAACUAUAAGGGCUAGUUGGAGAGCCAUAAAACCGGAGUAGAUUAGAGGGGCUAAAAUUCCCUUCUUAGGGUUGAUUUGGUGACAAGGAGAUCACGAGGGGAUUAAGGAGGAAAUUAGAUGGACUAAUUUCCCCCUCAAUACCCUCCAAUCCCCCCGUGAUUCCUGGUCACCAAUAGGGCUAGUUGGCACCUCCAUUUUCCUAUGAGAUUUCCAAUUUUUCAAGGGAAAAUGAACUAAUUUCCCUGAAAAAAAAUAAAAAACUCUUGGGAAAAUAAGGUUCCCAAACUAGCCCUUAUUUAAAAUUGAAUAAGGACGAGAUUUUAGUUUUUCUAACCCUCUUCGGUUUUUGGACUCUCAAACUAGCCAUAAUAGUAGCUACUUCCACUAAGGUGGCCAAAGUUUGCUUGUACUCAUUAUUGAGUCGCUUAGAUGGAUUAGAUCAUCGUAUGCAUAACUGACACAUUUGGAAGCACCUGGAACAUGGGAGAAGACAUCCCAAUUGCUUAGGCCCUUGCUGUCGUCUAGGUAUGCGCCUUCGACCUAAAUUGAGUUAGUCAUAAGAAGGAAUCAAAUGGAAAGCGGUAGAGGAAGUAUUGAACUAACAUAUAUAUCAUUCGACACUGCAGGUAUGACCAGACCAUCAAAACAAAAAUUGGAAGAAAAAAGGUUUAGGGGAAGAUCGAGCUACACUUUCAUCGAGUAAAUGAGUAGUAAAAGGGGACACCAUUGCCGUGUAAUUAAUGUAUAUCAAGCUAUACUAGUGUUUUUUUAUAAAGUGGAUUAAGAUAUUAAAGGUAAAGUUGGGACUAUUAGAGCGUAGUCAUAUAAGUUAAAUACUACUCCCCUCAUCCCAAAUCAAUAUUCGUUUUAGUUCUUAGUUUUUGGUCUAUAUUCAAACAAAUGAUAAUAAAUUUAGACACAUAUAAAACACAUAUAUCAAUCGUAUGAAUCUAUUUAAAAACCUAAAACAGAUUUUAAUUUAGAAUGGAGGGAGUGUCAAAUAUUAUCUCUUGUCAGCCAACCAAACAAGCAUAUAUAGCUUGCAUGUAUAUAUAUGUGCCAUCGUAGCCUGUUCAGUAUGAGUCUGAUUCCCCAUCUAAAGAAGGAAGACAGCCAAACAGGGUAUAAACUAUGCAGCAGACUACUGACUACAUGCACGCGCGCGUUUAGAGCUAGCUUGUUGAGCUCGGCAACGGCUUCCAUACGGUGCCUACCUGGUAAGACGACGUGCUGGCGCCGAAGAGGAAGGACGGCGGGAAGUCGCUGCGGUUGAGGCCGGUGACGGAGGAGUAGAGGAGCGGAAAGAGGAGGAGGAGGAAGAAGAGACGCGCCAUCACGGCGGGCAGCCUGAGCAUCAUGGUCGUUAGCCUAGUGCAGCAUAUAUAUAGUUUCGGAGGAAGAAGAGUUUGUGUCUGGUGUUGUGCAGAGGUAGUUAGACUGUGCGGACAGCAGACGUUCUGCCCAACCAACAAAUAACUAAUCACCAGGCUACGCUGCGCAAGGAGCCAAUCACGGUCCUAGUUACUGAAGGCAACUUCUCACCGGCACGCAGGCCGGACCCGUGGCCAUGGUGCGGACUGCGGACCCCGGAUCGGCAGCAUGACGCCAUGUGACCGCCGGUUGCACGUGAUGUGAUCUUUCUAUCAACGUUGUAUCUGGCAUAGUGUAACACCGUAAAUUUUGAGAUAUAAAAUUUCUUUCCUAAUAUUCAUCAAAUUUAGAUGUAACUCUCUCAUUUCUUUGCUUUUCUGUUCUUUUUCCUAAAAAUCAAGAAUUAUUUUGUUUUAUAUUAACAUAAAACGAGUGGAAUAAGCCCUAGAGGCGCUUUGGUUGUUACAUUCAUACCGUUGCACGGUGUUUCUAAGUGCAAAAUGUGUUUGAAAUAUGUCCUAUAGAAGCUCUCGAUAGAUUUUCAUAUUUUUCGGAGUAGUUUUCUAUUUUCCGGAAACCAAAAUCUAUUUAUUUGAGGUACUUAAAAAUGUUUUUAGAAACUCUAAGUAUGUUUUUUGAGUUCAAUAGGUGCCAAAACAUUUCUAGGAAUUUUUAUGGAAUUUUUGGAAGCAUCUGUAAUAUUUUGACCACAAAUUAUGGAUUUCUAGGCUUUUCUGAAUUUUAUAAAUGGUAAAAACCCAAAUUUAAAUCGAAUUUCUAUCUCGUCCGAACCCUAGAUAUAUAUAUACAUGCCCAUCUUCUCCUCAUCGAGCACGUUCCAGAGCACGAAACAGUUUCCUCAGAUUCAAUUCCCAGCUCUCGGAAUUACUCACCGAAGUUUGGAAGCCGUUCCAACUCUAGCAAGCAAUUACUCCCAAUCCGUGCAUCGUCUGUGGAAUCCGAGGUUACUGCUGCGUUCGCCUCAUCGAGAGAUUCGUCUCGGUGUGUCCGAUUCGUCGAUCGGACCUCCGAAUCUCCGUCAAUCGAUGGGUUCCUCCCCGGCUCCAGCGAGAGUCUUCUUCCCUAGUGACAAAACUCCAUUGUUGCACCUAGGGUUUCAUCGUUUGUUCCUUUUCUCGUCUGUGCAGAGCUCCCUCUCCCAUCCCUCACCUCCCCUGGCGGCACCGCCCCAUCCCCGUUGUCCCCCCUGCGUAGCCCUUCCUCGCGGCGGCGGCCGCGCCCCGUGUGCAGGCGCGCGUGUCCCUUCCCCGGUCGUGGCCCUGGGGGCGCUCGGUCGCGCGGCCCAGCCUCCUCCCCAUGCACGCGCAAUCCCCUCCCCUUCCCCCUCUCCUUCCCCCUCCCCUCUCUCUUCCAUGGAUGAGAGUAAGAAGAUGGAGGGAGAAAGAAGAUGGCAGUUUGGUAACUUAGUCCCUGUUUUGUACGCAUGAAUUUAGUCUAGUUUAAAAUAGUGAUAACUUUUGCGUUUAAAACCGAUUCAAUCCGUUCAAGUUGCGUUAGAUUCGUAUUAAAAUUAUCUACAUGUUAGAUGUAUUUUUCCUACCGUUGCCCAUCUUAUUUAAUUUAUUUCAACGUUUGUUUGACCGAUAACUACUAGAACAUCGUUUCAAUUUAAAAUCUAAUUUAGGAAUUUGAUUUGCGUAUUUAUAAUUAGACAUCAACAUGGUUAACCUUAACUGAAAUAUUCUUUAUUAAUAAUUGUUAAUCAUGCUAUUUGUUUAUUAGUUUUCGCGGAUCGUAUUGGCCCGCACCCCGUACGCGUGCUGUGCGCGUGCCGAGGUGCUGUUUCGCGCGCGUCGUGACGUGUCAUUCGCGAGUGUCGCGCGUGCUGUUUGUACACGUUGUCGCGCGCCUUGCCUCGCACCGUUCGCGCGUUAUCCCUGCACGAGAUUAAAUCGUUCGCUUAUAAUCACUCAUGUCAGUAAUUAGUUAUUUAUUUAAACAUCCACAAUUAAAACAGUAAGUUAGUUAAAACUAAGUAGUUUUAAUUUAUAUUUCAUAAAUGUUAAUUAAUAUAAUCACGUCGAAACAAUGUUUUAACUAGUACUUGUUUAGCGUAAAUGCGAUAACUUCUCGACCGUAGCUCCGACUGCCGCGUUUCUUUUCAUCGCGUGACCAUAGUAGAGAGCUCUAUUUUUGCAUGUUUUAUUAUGUUUUUCUUUGAAUGACGUAAUGUUCUUAUGCACAUAUAUAUGUUUGUUUCCUUGUGCUGAUUCGUCUUUGCUUCGCGUUGCGAUUAGAAUGCGACCCAUUCCCGAGCUUCGAGGAAUCGAAGAUCAAGCGUUGGCGACCAAGUGAUCUAGCUCUUCGAGUUCUACGAGAUUGAAGACUCUGAGCAUCUGUCUGGUGAAGGCAAGUGUCCUAUGACCCAUUAUGUUCUAUUUACUUUAUAAUUCAUUGUCCCGUAUACCAUGAUCAACCUAAGGAUUGACUAGCUUUGUAUUUACCUUGUCCUUGAUUACCUUUUGGGUUAUUAUGGUUAGCUUCAUGCUAUUGCUUUACUUUAAUCAACGAACUUGAUUAUGAUGAUGAACUUGUGAUACUUUAGAGGACUCAUGCUGUUUCCUGAGUACCUCUCCAUAAGGACCUGUUCGUUGAGAGACCACCCGGGAAAACAGUGCAACCAUGAGGGUGGUAUGGGACGCCCUUAGCUGAUUAAUUAGAGGAACUUAAGGUGUAGUCGGCUUCGCCGUCGUGCCGUCAAUGGGGUCCGGGCAUAGUACUUGCUCUGCCGAGGCUGGGUGCCGAGGUUCUUUCGUGUUGCUUUUGUUAGUCACCCUUCCUAUGGGGAGAGGUACUGUGUUUAUCAAACUGGAGAAACCUAACGGGCGGCUAUGACCUUUGGGAAAUUUUUGUAAAGGCUACUUAGUGACACCCUGCUAGAUCACCUAGGUAGUGAUCACUGCAGAAUAGCGCUCCUCGGACAGAAAGGGAAUCACAACUUAUGGGUAAAGUGGGCAACCUCUACAGAGUGUAAAGAAACUUAUAUAUCAGUCGUGCUCACGGUUAUGAGCGGCCUGGGGAUUCUCUUUGAUUAGAGACACAGAUGAUCUAAGAUACAAUGGUUCUAUUGAUGGUUUUGGUUACGAUGAUGAUAAUGAUGUUCAUCGAUGAGGAAAUGAUUCGCGUGUUGGUUAUUUCUAAAACUUGGCUUCUACUAAUAAUAAAUACCUGAUGAACUAAAAGCAACUGCUUUGAUCCUAACCCCACAUAAAGCUAGACCACUUCAGUCAAAUGAGACAUUUGCUGAGUACGUUGAUGUGUACUCACCCUUGCUUUCACAAAACACCAGGUUGCCGUUGGUGCAAACUUUGCUAAGAUAAAGAAGAAGAAGGCGUCAAGGCGGAUCUCCAGGAUUCCAGGACUUCGGCGAGUUCGAGGAUUAGGCUAGAGACCUCCCCCAGUCUGCUGCCUGUGGUGGGUUUAUUUACGUUGGCUACGUUUCUAUUAUGCACUUUGAUUCAUAUUAUGUAGAUGACUCUAGUCUGUAGUAUUAUUACUUACUCUUUAUUGUUAUUCGAAGCAUUGUGCUAUGAUGAGUCAUUUAUGUAAUCACUGUGUACGUGAAUUUCUGAUCCUGUCACGUACAUGGUUCGCAUUCGGUUUACCUUCCAAAACUGGGUGUGAUACAUAGUCAGAGUCUAAGUAUCCAAUCAAGUCAAAAGGAUACCAGAGCCCAAAGUGAGGCAUAUGAACUAAAUAUCGAAGAAUUUACUUCAAGACCACAAGGUGACAUUCCUUGGGGUCAGAUUGAAAUCUAGCGCACAUUCAAAUGGAAAGCAUAAUAUCCAGUCUACUUGCACAUAAAUAAAGAAAGGAUUAUAUCAUAGACUGCUAUAACUUUUGAUCUACGGACUUACCUCCCGCGUUGAGGUCCAAAUGUUCGUUGGUUCCCAUCGACAUCUUGAUGGGCUUUGCGUCCUUCAUCCCAAACUUCUUAAGAAGAUCUUGCGUGUACUUUGUUUGGAAGAUAAAGAUGUCGUCUUUGAGCUAUUUCACUUGGAAUCCUAGGAAGUAGGUCAGCUCCCCCAUCAUAUACAUUCCAAAUUUCUGCUUCAUCACCCUGCUAAACUCCUCAUAAGUCUUUUGAUUAGUAGAACCAAAUAUUAUGUCAUCGACAUAUAUUUGGCAUACAAUUAAAUCAUCAUAACAAACCUUUAUAAAGAGAGCACGAUCGGCUUUCCCAACCUUGAAAGCAUUAGAAAUAAGAAAGACUUUAAGGCAUUCAUACCAUGCUCUUGGUGCUUGCUUAAGCCCACAGAGCACCUUAGAGAGCUUAUACACAUGGUCAGGAUACCUAUCAUCCUUGUACACCUCCUCCUUGAUUGGCCUAUUGAGGAAAGCGCGCUUCAUGUCCAUUUAAUAAAGCUUAAAGGAAUGGUGAGCAACAUAGGCUAAUAAAAUUCGAAUAGUGUCGGGGACCAUAAUUAGGGGUACCCUCAAGGCUCCUAAAUCUCAGCUGGUAACCCCCAUCAGCACAAAGCUGCAAAGGCCUGAUGGGUGCGAUUAAGUCAAGGAUCGGUCCAUUCAAGGGACGCGAUCGCGCCUCGCCCGAGCCCAGCCUCGGGCAAGGGCAGCCGACCCCAGAGGGUUUACGUCUUGCCCGAGGACCCCCUACGGCAACGAACGCACCUUCGGCUCGCCUGAGGCCCAGUCUUCACCAAGAAGCAACCUUGGCCAAAUCGCCACGCCAACCGACCAAAUCGCAGGGGCAUUUAAUGCAAAGGUGGCCUGACACCUUUAUCCUGACGCGUGUCCUCCAGUUGACAGAGCCGAAGUGACCGUAGUCACUUCGCCGCUCCACUGACCAGCCUGACAAGAGGACAGCGCCGCCUGCGCCGCUCUGACUGCUGUGCCACAUGACAGAGUGAGGCUGACAGCAGCCAAGCCCGGCCCCAGGCUCCAUAGGAAACUCCGCUUCGCCUGACCCUAGGGCUCAGACUCGGGCUCAGCCCCGGAAGACGAUGAACUCCGCUUCGCCCGACCCCAGGGCUCAGACUCGGGCUCAGCCCCGGAAGACGACGAACUCCGCUUCGCCCGACCCCAAGGCUCGGACUCGGGCUCAGCCCCGGAAGACGACGAACUCCGCUUCGCCCGACCCCAGGGCUCGGACUCGGGCUCAGCCCCGGAAGACGACGAACUCCGCUUCGCCCGACCCCAGGGCUCGGACUCGGGCUCGGCCCCGGAAGAUGACGAACUCCGCUUCGCCCGACCCCAGGGCUCGGACUCGGGCUCAGCCUCGGAAGACGACAAACUCCGCUUCGCCCGACCCCAGGGCUCGGACUCGGGCUCAGCCCCGGAAGACGACGAACUCCGCUUCGCCCGACCCCAGGGCUCGGACUCGGGCUCAGCCCCGGAAGACGACGAACUCCGCUUCGCCCGACCCCAGGGCUCGGACUCAGCCCUGGCCUCAGCCGACGGUCUCCGCCUCGCCCGACCCAGGGGCUCAGACUCGACCUCGGCCUCGGAAGACAGACUCGACCUCGACCUCGGAGGAGCCUCCACCUCGCCCAACCUAGGGCUCGGACCGACCACGUCAUAGGAGGCGCCAUCAUUACCCUACCCCAAGCUGACUCAAGCUACGGGGAACAAGACCGGCGUCCCAUCUGGCUCGCCCCGCCAAACAAGUAAUGAUGGCGCCCCGCACGCUCUAUGACGACGACGGCUCUCAGCCCCCUUACGGAAGCAAGAGGACGUCAGCAAGGACUCGACAGCCCCGACAGCUGUCCUUCCGCCAGGCUCCAGCGCUCCUCCGACGGCCACGACACCACACGAACCGGGUGCCAAAACCUCUCCGGCUGCCACGAUGGCAUGUACUUAGGGCGCUAGCUCUCCUCCGCUAGACACGUUAGCACACUGCUACACCCCCCCAUUGUACACCUGGAUCCUUUCCUUACGCCUAUAAAAGGAAGGUCCAGGGCCCUCUUACAGAGGGUUGGCCGCGCGGGGAAGGACGGGACGACGCUCGCGUGAGGCCGCUCGCUCCCUCCCGCGUGGACGCUUGUAACCCCCUACUGCAAGCGCACCCGACCUGGGCGCGGGACAAACACGAAGGCCGCGGGAUCUCACCUCUCACACCUGUCUCCCUCCGGCUUCUUCCCCCCUUCGCGCUCCAUCUCGCGCCGACCCAUCUGGGCUGGGGCACGCGGCGACAAUUUACUCGUCGGUCCAGGGACCCCCCGGGUUCGAAACGCCGACAGUUGGCGCGCCAGGUAGGGGCCUGUUGUGUGUUGACGAACAGCUUCCCGUCAAGCUCCAGAUGGGCAGUCUUCAGCAACCUUUCCAGCCCGGGACGGUACUCCGUUUCGGGAGUCUUGAGUUCAUGUCCCUCGACGGCAGCUACGACAUGAUACCCCUUCUCCCGCCGCGCGACAGCGACAAUGGCGGCCGACAGCCCGCCCGCCGGUGGCGGAAUCGACGACGUCUUCCCCUCGUGGUGGAAGAACAACAUUCGAGCUCGCCCCGUCCCCUCCCCCGCCGACGGAGGAGGAGGCGGGGCAACCAAGGCCAAGCAGGAGGUUGCACCUCGUCGGCUGUCGAGCGAGUCGACGGCGCCGGUGCCCCAACGGGGGGCACGUCGGGCAUCGACCUCGCGUCUGAGACGAAGACGAGCGCCGUCUCCCCGCAACACGCCAAUCCCAAGCAAACGGACGACGCCAGCACACUCGCGAAGGACUUGCUGGGCAUCACCCUCGUACCUGAGACGACGGUGCAGUCAGCCCCUGACGUGACUUCGUCACCGCCCGUCGACCAAGAGGUACCAACCGAUUCCCAUCUCACGCCUUUUGGAUUCAGCCUCGACCCACCAAGCGACUUUGCUUUGGUGGACGCUCUCGUAGAGGCGAGUCCAAACCCUCUAGGGUAUCGUAUGCGGUCACCCUGGGACCGGCUGAUGGCCGUCUCGACCUACGGGCCCUCGGGGUUCGAGGAAGAUGACGAGCCCGACUUCUGUUGGGAUUUCUCCGGACUUGGUAACCCCAGUGCCAUGCGGGACUUUAUGACCGCGUGCGACUACUGCCUUUCCGACUGUUCCGACGGUAGCCGCAGCCUCGGCGACGAGGACUGCGGCCCAAGUCGUGAAUGUUUCCACGUCGAUCUAGGGGGUCCCAACGAAGGCAACCAUCUUGGUAUGCCGGAGAACAGUGAUCUCCCUAGGCCUGUGCCUCGCGUUGACAUCCUUCGGGAGCUAGCUGUGGUCCCCGUCCCGGCGGGGGGUCAUGACCCACAGCUCGAGCAAAUCCGCGAGAUGCAGGCCAUGCUCGACGAGGGGGUAGGAACACUUGAGCCGAUCCGCCGGGACAUCGGGCAGGAAUGGGCGGGCCAACCUCCGGUCGGAGAAGUGCGUCAUCUACCCCAGGGUAUCCAGCACCGCAUCGCCGACGAUGUCAGGGUAAGGCCGCCACCGACUUCCAGUGGAGUCGGCCAGAACCUGGCUGCAGCGGCAAUACUUCUCCGCUCGAUGCCGGAGCCAUCAACCACCGAGGGGCGGCGAAUUCAGGGAGAGCUCAAGAAUCUCUUGGAGGAUGCCGCGGUCCGACGGGCCGAAAGCUCCGCCUCCCGAAGGCAGGGGUACCCCUCGGAACAUCGCGCCACGACUUCCCGAUUCAUGCGGGAAGCCUCGGUCCACACCGGGCGCACGCGCAACACAGCGCAUGCGGCCCCGGGUCGCCUCGGCAACGAGCACCAUCACCGCAACCGUUGGGCCCACCUCGACGAGAGGGUGCACCGAGGCUACCACCCCAGGCGUGGGGGACGCUACGACAGCGGGGAGGAUCGGAGUCCCUCGCCCGAGCCACCCGGUCCGCAGGCUUUCAGCCGCGCCAUACGACGGGCGCCGUUCCCGACUCGGUUCCGAACCCCGACUACUAUCACAAAGUACUCGGGGGAGACGAGACCGGAACUGUGGCUCGCGGACUACCGGCUGGCCUGCCAACUGGGUGGAACGGACGAUGACAACCUCAUCAUCCGCAACCUCCCCCUGUUCCUUUCCGACACCGCUCGCGCCUGGCUGGAACACCUGCCUCCGGGGCAGAUCUCCAACUGGGACGACCUGGUCCAAGCCUUCGCCGGCAAUUUCCAGGGCACGUACGUGCGCUCUGGAAACUCCUGGGAUCUUCGAAGCUGCCGACAGCAGCCGGGAGAGUCUCUCCGGGACUACAUCCGACGAUUCUCGAAGCAGCGCACCGAGCUGCCCAACAUCACCGAUUCGGAUGUCAUCGGCGCGUUCCUCGCCGGCACCACCUGUCGCGACCUGGUGAGCAAGCUAGGUCGCAAGACCCCCACCAGGGCGAGCGAGCUGAUGGACAUCGCCACCAAGUUCGCCUCUGGCCAGGAGGCGGUUGAGGCCAUCUUCCGGAAGGACAAGCAGCCCUAGAGCCGCCCACCGGAAGAUGUCCCCGAGGCGUCAACUCAGCGCAGCGCCAAGAAGAAAGGCAAGAAGAAGUCGCAAGCGAAACGCGAAGCCGCCGACGCGGACCUUGUCGCCACCGCCGAGUACAAGAACCCUCGGAAACCUCCCGGAGGUGCCAACCUCUUCGACAAGAUGCUCAAGGAGCCGUGCCCCUAUCAUCAGGGGCCCAUCAAGCACACCCUUGAGGAGUGCGCCAUGCUUCGGCGCCACUUUCACAAGGCCGGGCCACCCGCGGAGGGUGGCAGGGCUCGCGGCGAUGAUAAGAAGGAAGAUCACCAAGCAGGAGAGUUCCUCGAGGUCCGCGACUGCUUCAUGAUCUACGGUGGGCAAGUGGCGAACGCCUCGGCUCGGCACCGCAAGCAAGAGCGUCGAGAGGUCUGUUCGGUAAAGGUGGCGACACCAGUCUACCUAGACUGGUCCGACAAGCCCAUCACCUUCGACCAAGAUGACCACCCCGACCGCGUGCCGAGCCCGGGGAAAUACCCGCUCGUUGUCGACCCCGUCAUCGGCGACGUCAGGCUCACCAAGGUCCUCAUGGACGGAGGCAGCAGCCUCAACAUCAUCUACGCCGAGACCCUCGGGCUCCUGCGGGUCGAUCUGUCCUCCGUUCGGGCAGGCGCUGCGCCUUUCCACGGGAUCAUCCCCGGGAAGCGCGUCCAGCCCCUCAGACGACUCGAUCUACCCGUCUGCUUUGGGACACACUCCAACUUCCAAAGGGAGACCCUCACGUUCGAGGUGGUCGGGUUCCGAGGAACCUACCACGCAGUACUGGGGAGGCCGUGCUACGCUAAGUUCAUGGCCGUCCCCAACUACACCUACCUCAAGCUCAAGAUGCCGGGCCCCAACGGGGUCAUCACCGUCGGCCCCACAUACCGACACGCGUACGAAUGCGACGUGGAGUGCGUGGAGUACGCCGAGGCCCUCGCCGAAUCCGAGGCCGAGCCUCUCUAAGGAGGCGCCAGACGUGAAGCGCCACGCCGACAACUUCGAGCCAGCGGAGACGGUUAAAUCCGUCCCUCUCGACCCCAGCAACGACGCCUCCAAGCAAAUCCGGAUCGGCUUCGAGCUCGAUCCCAAAUAGGAAGCAGUGCUCGUCGACUUUCUCCGCGCGAACAUCGACGUUUUCGCGUGGAGUCCCUCGGACAUGCCCGACAUACCGAGGGAUGUCGCCGAGCAUUCGCUGGAUAUCUUAGCUGGAGCCCGACCCGUGAAGCAGCCUCUGCGCCGAUUCGACGAAGAAAAGCGCAGAGCCAUAGGCGAGGAGAUCCACAAGCUAAUGGCGGCAGGGUUCAUCAAAGAGGUAUUCCAUCCCGAAUGGCUUGCCAACCCUGUGCUUGUGAGAAAGAAAGGAGGGAAAUGGCGGAUGUGUGUAGACUACACUGGUCUAAACAAAGCAUGUCCGAAAGUUCCCUACCCUCUGCCUCGCAUCGAUCAAAUCGUGGAUUCCACUGCUGGGUGCGAAACCCUGUCUUUCCUUGAUGCCUACUCAGGGUAUCACCAAAUUAGGAUGAAAGAGUCCGACCAGCUCGCGACUUCUUUCAUCACACCUUUCGGCAUGUACUGCUAUGUUACCAUGCCGUUCGGUUUGAGGAAUGCGGGUGCGACAUACCAAAGGUGCAUGAACCACGUGUUCGGCGAACACAUUGGCCGAACGGUCGAGGCCUACGUUGAUGACAUCGUAGUCAAGACGAGGAAAGCCUCCGACCUCCUUUCUGACCUUGAAGCGACAUUCUGAUGUCUCAAGGCGAAAGGCGUGAAGCUCAAUCCCGAGAAGUGUGUCUUCGGGGUCCCCCGAGGCAUGCUCUUGGGGUUCAUCGUCUCCGAGCGGGGCAUCGAGGCCAACCCGGAUAAGAUCGCGGCCAUCACCAGCAUGGGGCCCAUCAAGGACUUGAAAGGCGUACAGAGAGUCAUGGGAUGCCUUGCGGCUCUGAGCCGCUUCAUCUCGCGCCUCGGCGAAAGAGGUCUACCUCUGUACCGCCUCUUAAGAAAGCCCGAGUGCUUCACUUGGACCCCUGAGGCCGAGGAAGCCCUUGGGAACCUGAAGGCGCUCCUCACGAACGCGCCCAUCUUGGUGCCCCCCGCUGCCGGAGAAGCCCUCUUGAUCUACGUCGCCGCGACCACUCAGGUGGUUAGCGCCGCGAUUGUGGUCGAGAGACGAGAAGAGGGGCAUGCAUUGCCCGUCCAAAGGCCAGUCUACUUCAUCAGCGAGGUACUGUCCGAGACCAAGAUCCGCUACCCACAAAUUCAGAAGCUGCUGUACGCGGUGAUCCUAACGCGGCGGAAGUUGCGACACUACUUCGAGUCUCAUCCAGUAACUGUGGUGUCAUCCUUCCCCCUGGGGGAGAUCAUCCAGUGCUGAGAGGCCUCGGGUAGAAUUGCAAAGUGGGCGGUGGAAAUCAUGGGCGAUACGAUCUCGUUCGCCUCUCGGAAGGCCAUCAAGUCCCAGGUCUUGGCGGACUUUGUGGCUGAAUGGGUCGACACCCAGCUCCCAACAGCUCUGAUCCAACCGGAACUCUGGACCAUGUUCUUCGACGGGUCGCUGAUGAAGACAGGAGCAGGCGCAGGCCUGCUCUUCAUCUCGCCCCUCGGGAAGCACCUACGCUACGUGCUACGCCUCCAUUUCUCGGCAUCCAACAAUGUGGCCGAGUACGAGGCUCUGGUCAACGGGUUGCGCAUCGCCAUCGAGCUAGGGGUCCGACGCCUCGACGCUCGCGGUGACUCGUAGCUCGUCAUCGACCAAGUCAUGAAGAACUCCCACUGCCGCGACCCGAAGAUCGAAGCAUACUGCGAUGAGGUUCGGCGCCUGGAAGACAAGUUCUACGGGCUCGAGCUCAACCACAUCGCCCGACGCUACAACGAUACUGCGGACGAGCUGGCUAAAAUAGCCUCGGGGCGAACAACGGUUCCCCCGGACGUCUUCUCCCGAGACCUGCAUCAACCCUCCGUCAAGACCGACGACACGCCCGAGCCCGAGAAGGCCUCGGCCCAGCCCGAGGCACCCUCGGCUCAGUCCGAGGCACCCUCGGCUCGGCCCGAGGCACACUCAGCUCGGCCUAAGGCACCCUCGGCUCGGCCCGAGGCACCCUCGGCUCGGCCUGAGGUACCCUGGGCCUCCAAGGGUGAGGCACUGCGCAUCGAGGGGGAGCGGAGCGGGGUCACGCCUAAUUGAAACUGGCAGACCCCGUACCUGCAAUAUCUUCACCGAGGAGAGCUACCCCUCGACCAGGCCGAAGCUCGGCGGUUGGCGUGGCGCGCCAAGUCAUUCGUCUUGCUGAGAGAUGGGAAGGAGCUCUACCACCGCAGCCCCUCGGGCAUCCUCCAGCGAUGCAUUUCCAUCGCCGAAGGCCAGGAGCUCCUACAAGAGAUACACUCGGGGGCUUGUGGCCAUCACGCAGCACCUCGAGCCCUUAUUGGAAACGCCUUCCGACAAGGUUUCUACUGGCCGACGGCGGUGGCCGACGCCACUAGAAUUGUCCGCACCUGCGAAGGGUGUCAGUUCUACGCAAGGCAGACCCACCUGCCUGCUCAGGCUCUGCAGACCAUACCCAUCACCUGGCCGUUUGCUGUGUGGGGUCUGGACCUAGUCGGCCCUUUGCAGAAGGCACCCGGGGGCUACACGCACCUGUUGGUCGCCAUCGACAAAUUCUCCAAGUGGAUCGAGGUCCGACCCCUAAACAACAUCAGGUCCGAACAGGCGGUGGCGUUCUUCACCAACAUCAUCCAUCGCUUCAGGGUCCCGAACUCCAUCAUCACCGACAACGGCACCCAGUUCACCGGCAGAAAGUUCCUGGACUUCUGCGAGGAUCACCACAUCCGGGUAGACUGGGCUGCCGUGGCUCACCCCAUGAUGAAUGGGCAAGUAGAGCGUGCCAACAACAUGAUUCUACAAGGACUCAAGCCUCGGAUCUACAACGACCUCAACAAGUUCGGCAAGCGGUGGAUGAAGGAACUCCCCUCAGUGGUCUGGAGUCUGAGGACGACGCCGAGCCGGGCCACGGGCUUCACACCGUUUUUUCUAGUCUAUGGGGUCGAGGCCGUCUUGCCCACAGACUUAGAAUACGGUUCCCCGAGGACGAGGGCCUACGCCGACCAAAGCAAUCAAGCUAAUUGAGAAGACUCACUUGACCAGCUGGAAGAGGCUCGAGACAUGGCCUUACUACACUCAGCGCGGUACCAGCAGUCCCUGCGACGCUACCACGCCCGAGGGGUUCGGUCCCGAGACCUCCAGGUGGGCGACCUGGUGCUUCGGCUGCGACAAGACGCCCGAGGGCGGCACAAGCUCAUGCCUCCUUGGGAAGGGCCGUUCGUCGUCGCCAAGGUUCUAAAGCCCGGAACGUACAAGCUGGCCAACAGUCAAGGCGAGGUCUACAGCAACGCUUGGAACAUCCAACAGCUACGUCGCUUCUACCCUUAAGAUGCUUUCAAGUUUUUCGUAUGCCUCGUUCCCACGCAAAGUUUAGUCAUCAAGGAAGGGUCAGCCUUGCCUCGGCAAAGCCCGACCCUCCCUCGGGGGCUAAAAGGGGGGAACCCUCUCUGCGUCAAAAUUUUCCUCGGAAAAAGAUCUUUUCUGCUAGAAUGUCUUUCGUGCUUUUCGACUACUUCGAAAGUGGAUCCUGAAAAUGACGGAGUACACGUAAGCAGCCAAGGCUGACCGAGCCGAGGGACUCCUACGCCUCCGGGAUACGGAUACCUCACUCAUCACCUUUUGCGAUAAGUAACUCGCGCUUGGAUAGGUGAUUCCGCGGACCGAACAAGUCUUCACGCUCGAAAGAUCCUCUGCCGAAACGAUUUUUCGGGCCUACUCGACUGCGUCGGUGACAGAACCCUAUGGACGAGUAAGAGUGCGCGUAAGCGGCAAGGCCGAUCGAGCCGAGGGAUUCCUACGCCUCCGGGAUACGGAUACCUCACUCAUCACCUUCCGUGAAAAGUAACUCUCGCUCGCACAAACAAUUAUGUUACCGACAAAUAAGUCCAGAUACUCGAAACAAGGGGAAAAGAAACACAGCUUUACAACACGACGAUGGUGUGUUUGGGCCUCGGCGGCCGCAGAAAACAUAUACACACUACAAGAUAAUCUGAUCCUGCAGGCUCGGAUCUUGACAGUUGAAGGGAGCAGCAGCACCCUCGGCGUCAACUACGCCUUCGACGAGGUCCGACCUAGCCUCGGACGGCGACGCGGUCGGAGGAUCUCCACUCUAAAGGACGACAUCAGCACCACGCCUGGGCCAUCGCCGCCAGGGUCUUCUCCAGGAAUCCGGCUCAAGCAGACGGCUCGGCCGGCCACCCCGAGGCCUCGGCCAGCUGUCCCCCGAAGACAUCAGCCCGGCCCGUGGUCUCGGCAACUCAACUCCGGCGUCGGUCCCGCCAGUGGACGACCCGGCCAGGCUCUGGCCGACCAAGUCUUCUUUUCGAGCCAACUCAGCAUCUGUCCGUGCGGACACCGCUACCUCCGGCUUCGGCUCAUCAGAGAGCGGCCGAGGGUUUCCUUUAACUAAGCAAGAGAAGCCUCGGACAGCAAGGCCGACUGAGCCGAGGGACUCCUACGCCUCCGGGAUACGGAUACCUCACUCGUCACCUUUGCACGAGGCAACUCACACUUGGUGAAGCGGUUCAGAUAGCCGACAGGCGAGUCUUAGUGCUCGAAAUGAGGAAAAAACACGGCUCCGUGCCGAAAAUACAUACAUGUUCAGGCCCCGACAGCCACAAUGAACAAGACACCGGCACUCAAGGUGCCAUCACAAACGGAACUCCGGUUCCGUCCCCGCGGGUAUGAACAACCUCCACAUAGAGGAGCCUGCGGGGCGACAAGUUCCGGGCGACUCGCCAGCGACCUCUGCAGCAGCAACUAUGGUCCCAGGACGGACGCGGCCACCGGAAGGCUCUCGUUCGUGUCCCCGCUCAAGGGACACGAACCAGACAUCAAAGCCGAAGAGCCGGAGGCUGGCCCGUAGGCGGCACUGACGGCCUCGACGGUGGGGAAGCUUCCCCCGGCUGCCACCACGUCAGCACUGAUGGCGGCGUCCGCCUCUCCACCAACGCCGCACCGGCGAACGCGGGCCGCUCCAAGGCGCACCGGCAGGUCCUCGCUCCCGUCCUCACCACGAAAGCGAGGAAGAGGACAGAAUGUUGCAUCCUAGCUGGGCAGCAACAGUUCGCCUUCCCCGGCAUGGCUGGAGGAUGCCUCCUCCGCAGAGCUGGAGGAUGGUUUCCACCACCAGAAGCUAGAAGAGGAGGUGGCCAGCCGACCCGUGCGGGAGGUAGAGCCCCGGCUCGCCUCGCUCUCCGCCCCAGCAAGGAUGAUAAAUAUCCUUGAAGCUGAGGGAGGGGCGGGGGCCGCAGCCCGGCUUGCUUCUCCCCAUCCAGGGGCUGGUGGUCACCGCCUUGGGUGACCACCGGCGAGGGGAUGCGGUCGGGCCACGUGAUGAAAAUCCUUGAAGCCGAACGAUGGCUGAAAGGUACCAACUUCCACGAAGUUGCGUUCCUCCAACGACAAGGCGGAAGGAUUGCGGGUGUUCCCCAUCCGGGGGCUCGGAAGGUGGAAAGACACGAUGCAUAAGGGAGCGCGAAGACAUGGUCGCCUUUCAAGGGGGUCACCCUCCUUUUAAAGGCGACUCUCCCUACUUGCGUCCCCGGCCGUCGCGGGCUGAGUCUUCUCCAACACGCUCCAAGGUCCUCCCCCUACGGCGCGGGGGCUGGGUCCCACGCGUCAUGCAAGCUGGCCCAGAGCAGAAGAAGCCAAACCGCCGCGCGCGGUGCAUUCAACUGCCCAGCGGUUACGAGCAUUCCUCCACUAUUGCCCAGACCAGCGGGUGAAAGGGCGGACAUCCAUGCAGGCGGCAUGCAACCGCGCUAAGUGGGCGCACCCCUCCGACUUCCAACGCACCCAGCAUGGAGGCCCAGGCCCACACGUCAUGCAACCGGCGCGCCGGUUGCUACGUGCGAGCAACUGCACCGCCACUCGCACCACUACCGCGCCUCCUCGACUGCGGAACCAGUACCGCGACUCGAGGCAACCCUGCGUAUGACCCAACAGUGCCAGCCAGGCGCAUCGAUCACGGGCCAGUCAGCCGCGAGAGAAGGUGCGAUGAUCGAUGCGGCCAAAAAUGGGCCGGCAGUAAUGGCAGUGGCAGGCGGGCAGAAGCAGCGGUCACGUCGUCAGCCAAGCUCACGUCACCUCGUGGGAUAGCGAGAGAACCCUCUCUCACGGCGUGAAGACGACGCGCCCGUGUUCCGUUCCUCGAACGGCCCGCGCACGCGCAAUGGCUGCCCCACGAACCACUCGCCCCGUAGCAUUAACUCCGCGGCGGGACAUGCAGCACCUUUGGCAGGAGAAGCGAGCGACGCUUCACCUUCGCCAUAAUGACCGCGUCAAAAAGGUGCGCCACAUCAUCUCAAUUUCGUAUUCUUUCCUUUUUCCUCUUUCUCUCUCUUACAACAGGGACCGGGAAAGGGGGAUACCCCGAAAAGGGAUCCUUCUCCGCGAAGGAAACGGGCCCCGAGCCUCCCUACUAAUCAGAGGUUCAAAGGCUGGCCCCUCGGAGGGGUUCAACAGCCGCCUCAGAGCGCUUGGGCUCCACGCCCACUACUGGUCAGAGGUUCGAAGGCCGGCCCCUCGGAAGGGUUCAACGGCCGCCUCAGGCCACUCGGGCUCCGCGCCCACUACUGAUCAGGGGUUUGUAGGCUGGCCCUCGAAGGGCUCACAGCCGCCUCAGACAUAGAGCGAGGGAUGAUCCUGGGUACGUUCGAUACAUAACCAAGGCUCGGGCUACGCUCCCGAGGUACCCUAGGACAUUUCCGAGACCAGCGGGAACGAUCUUGUUACGGAAUCCCAUCAGAGGGAGGCAUCGAGCCCUCGGACCCUGUCGAAAGGGGACCGGGUCCGGCAGAUCACCCGCAGGUACUUUUGGAGCGCGCCUCCGGGCCUCUAGCCGACCCCUAACAAAUGGGGCACGGGCGUCCACUCGGAUUACCCGUCAGCAGCUCACUGGAGACACCAUGUUCGGCGCCCUCCAAGGGCAACAUGGCGCUUUCCCCCUCCUCCUUGCGGAAAGGCGAUGCAGGGGCGUAUGUAAAAAAGUCGAGUCUGUCCUUGACCAUCCUCUCGCCCUGUGCGGAGGCUCGGGGGCUGCUCUCGCAAACCCGGCUCCGGCCAAACCGUUGACAGCGUCAACAUACCAACCCGAGAACUUGGGACCCGACCGUGCACCCGGGCUACGGCCAGCUCGCAUGAGGGAACAACCAGACCAGCCAAAGUGUUGCGAAACGCACUAAGACCUCGAAGGAGUCAAACCACUCCUCCGAGGCCUCGGGGGCUACACCCGGCGGGUGCGCUCGCGCGCACCCACCGUAACAAAACGCAACCAAGAAAGGCUGGUCCCCUUGCAAAAAAGUGCGACAAAAGCCUCCAAGCGAGUAUUAACACUCCCUUCGAGGCUCGGAGGCUACUGUCGGGGACCAUAAUUAGGGGUACCCUCAAGGCUCCUAAAUCUCAGCUGGUAACCCCCAUCAGCACAAAGCUGCAAAGGCCUGAUGGGUGCGAUUAAGUCAAGGAUCGGUCCAUUCAAGGGACGCGAUCGCGCCUCGCCCGAGCCCAGCCUCGGGCAAGGGCAGCCGACCCCGGAGGGUUUACGUCUCGCCCGAGGACCCCCUACGGCAACGAACGCACCUUCGGCUCGCCCGAGGCCCAGUCUUCACCAAGAAGCAACCUUGGCCAAAUCGCAACGCCAACCGACCAAAUCGCAGGGGCAUUUAAUGCAAAGGUGGCCUGACACCUUUAUCCUGACGCGCGUCCUCCAGUUGAUAGAGCCAAAGUGACCGUAGUCACUUCGCCGCUCCACUGACCAGCCUGACAAGAGGACAGCGCCGCCUGCGCCGCUCCGACUGCUGUGCCACACGACAGAGUGAGGCUGACAGAAGCCAAGCCCGGCCCCAGGCGCCAUAGGAAACUCCGCUUCGCCCGACCAUAGGGCUCGGACUCGGGCUCAGCCCCGGAAGACGACGAACUCCGCUUCGCCCGACCCCAGGGCUUGGACUCUGGCUCAGCCCCGGAAGACGACGAACUCAGCUUCGCCCGACCCCAGGGCUCGGACUCGGGCUCAGCCCCGAAAGACGACGAACUCCGCUUCGCUCGACCCCAGGGCUCAGACUCGGGCUCAGCCCCGGAAGACGACGAACUCCGCUUCGCCCGACCCCAGGGCUCGGAAUCGGGCUCAGCCCCGGAAGACGACGAACUCCGCUUCGCCCGACCCCAGGGCUCGGACUCGGGCUCAGCCCCGAAAGACGACGAACUCUGCUUCGCCCGACCCCAGGGCUCGGACUCGGGCUCAGCCCCGGAAGACGACGAACUUUGCUUCGCCCGACCCCAGGGCUCGGACUCGGGCUCAGCCCCGGAAGACGACGAACUCCGCUUCGCCCGACCCCAGGGCUCAGACUCAGCCCUGGCCUCAGCCGACGGUCUCCGCCUCGCCCGACCUAGUGGCUCGGACUCGACCUCGGCCUCGGAAGACAGACUCGACCUCGACCUCGGAGGAGCCUCCACCUCGCCCAACCUAGGGCUCGGACCGACCACGUCACAGGAGGCGCCAUCAUUACCCUACCCCAAGCUGACUCAGGCUACGGGGAACAAGACCGGCGUCCCAUCUGGCUCGCCCCGCCAAACAAGUAAUGAUGGUGCCCCGCACGCUCUAUGACGACGACGGCUCUCAGCCCCCUUACGGAAGCAAGAGGACGUCAGCAAGGACUCGACAGCCCCGACAGCUGUCCUUCCACCAGGCUCUAGCGCUCCUCCUACGGCCACGACACCACACGAAUCGGGUGCCAAAACCUCUCCGGCUGCCACGAUGGCAUGUACUUAGGGCGCUAGCUCUCCUCCGCUAGACACGUUAGCACACUGCUACACCCCCCAUUGUACACCUGGAUCCUUUCCUUACGCAUAUAAAAGGAAGGUCCAGGGCCCUCUUACAGAGGGUUGGCCGCGCGGGGAAGGACAGGACGGCGCUCGCGUGAGGCCGCUCGCUCCCUCCCGCGUGGACGCUUGUAACCCCCUACUGCAAGCGCACCCGACAUGGGCGCGGGACAAACACGAAGGCCGCGGGAUCUCACCUCUCACGCCUGUCUCCCUCCGGCUUCUUCCCCCCUUCGCGCUCCGUCUCGCGCCGACCCAUCUGGGCUGGGGCACGCGGCGACAAUUUACUCGUCGGUCCAGGGACCCCCCGGGUUCGAAACGCCGACAAAUAGACUCAAGCCUAGCUACAUGAGCAAAAGUCUCUUCAAAAUCCAAACAAACGACUUGGGGAUAACCAUUUGACAUAAGUCUCGCCUUGUUUUUUGUCACCACUCCGUACUCAUCUUGCCUGUUACGGAACACCCACUUGGAUCCUACAACAUUUUGCUUUAGACGUGGUACCAGGCUCCAAACUUCAUUUCUCUUGAAGUUGUCAAGCUCUUCCUGCAUGGCCAUCACUCAAUCCGGAUCCUGUAGUGCUUCUUCUACCCUGAAAGGCUCAAUAGAAGAGACAAAGGAAUAUUGCUUACAAAGAUUAGAUAUACAAGAUCGAGUCGUUACUCCCUUGCUGAUAUCACCUAGGAUUUGGUCCACCGUAUGAUCCCUUUGGAUGGUGGCGCAGAUUGGUGCUUGAGGUUCCUAUGAUACUUCUUCCUCCUUGCCUUCUUGUUCAUGCGCCCCACUUGGAACUUGGAAGCGUGAGAGCAUGCCAGCGGCUGGGCUCAGCCGUUGUGGAUAGUUAGCGCGGUGGUUGUGACCAACCAAACUGUCUAGCUCCCCCAUGACGUAUGUGUCGAUGCAUGUGACCUCACUCAGAGAUUCACACCUGGUGAACCACUCACACGGAACAACUUCUCGCUCCUAAACCACUGAAAACUGAUGUUUUUUCUUCACUACUAAGCAAAAAAACGAAUUUUUGUAUGGUUUCAAAUGGAUUUCGAUUGAAAAUAUAAAAAAUACAAAAGUCAAAUUUUGGUCAACAAAAUGAAAUUCGGUUAACCCAAAACAAAAUUGUGAACCCUCACCACUCAUCCGCUCCCGAAUCCUCGGCUUCACAUCUGCCCAUGGCCGCCGGGGGCGUCAAGCACCCAACUCCCACCUGUUGCUAGAGCUCCCUCACAUCCAUGGAAGCACACACCCAAAGAAGGCGAGAGACAUGGCACCACCUACUGCUUCCCUAUCCCCUGCCUGCUGUGUUCACUAACCCACCUCCGACCCCCGUUGCGGGUCCCCCUCCCCCGUCAGAAGGUUCCCCAGAUUUAUAGCCCAUAGUAGCGGCGGCGACGGGGCAUGCGCUCGGAGCCAAACCAGGUAACCUCCUUGACAUGGUGUGGGAGUAGAAGGUUAGUCCGAUUCGGGCAUGGGAUUUACUCUGGCUCUCGAUGGUGCUGUCACACAGCUUACAGCGAGAGCAAGGCCAUCCUUGACGCCGUCUUCCUUGAGAAGGCCUCCGCGUAGGCGUUCACGGAGCGAGUCGAGUCGGUAAUGGGCAAGUUAUUCAACGUCGUCAGGCAGUGGCAGACUGAGCAGCGGAAGCAGGUCCAAGAGUUCUUGGUACUGCACGACACACACCUGGAUCUAGAUGAGCAUUCAUAAUAUUUCGUUUUCCAUGUCAAUUCACUAAUAAACUCUUUAAUAAUUGAUGUCUCGAUGAUGUGUUAUCAUCCAUGUUUAACUUAAAUGUGUUCUAGUUCUGAAAUACCAAAGUUUAUAAAACAAAAGAUAUGCAACAAGGAAUCAACAUUGAACUGUAGGUGUAUGUGUGAUAGUCUACCAAGUGUAUAAGUAUAUAUGUUCCCUUCGUUAGGUGUAGCUAAACACAUGGUGAAAAUUUGAAGAAGGGAAAUGGUCCUAACAUUCAUUUUUGGAAGAACUAUAUGGUAUAGACUACAUAGUUCAGGUGCUCAAGGUAGAUAAUGGCUGUUUGGUUUGGAGGUAUAACAUAAAUAAAAUGUUCCAUGUUAUUAUUGAUAAACACAUUACAUACAAUAAAGAAUACCAUUGCAGUUUUUUAUUUCAUUUUUAUUUUCUAUAACCAUGGUUGUACCUCACAUGCUACUGACACUUAUACAUAUAUAUAGUUUGUAUAUUUGGAGCCCUGGGCUUCCAAUAACUAGAGGAAGCCCUGGCCCAACGGUGUCAUCCGGUUCAGCCGCACCAGGUGUAGAUGGCUAUAAAAAGACCUCAGGCCACCAGGGAUUAGGUUUUAGCGGGGUGGCGGUUCCCUCGGGCGAGCGAGCGGUGGCGGCGGUUUCCUCGAGCGUGCGAGUGACGACGAUCCCGUGGGCUAGCGGUUGUGGCGCGCAUAGGCAGGCGACCGGCGGUGACGCUCCUAUGGCGGACGAGCAAGCAUCGACGGCGUUCCCGAACCGGACGGGUGGCAGCGGCGGUUUCCUCGGGCGUGCGAGCAGUGGCGAUCCCGAGAGCUAGCGCCUAUGGCGCGUCGAGGUGGGUGGCUGACAGCGACGCUCCUAUGGCGGGCGGGCAAGCACCGACGGUGCUCCCGAACCGGACGAGCGGCGGCGGCGCACCCUAGGCCCGGUGGUGACGGUGGUUGUGUGAGGCGCGAUAGGUUUCAGCAGCAGCAGCGGCAGAUCUUGGAGGAGCACACACGACGGCGAAUCCCGGAGGCACGCGCCGUGGAGUGGCGUCCGCUGGCGUCCCCCUCCCGCGACGACGUCAACCUUCCCUACGCGCGAGCGACAACGACAGACUUCCCUAGGCGGCGAGCGGUGGUGGAUCGAUGACCCUGUUUUUAUGCUAUUUUGUAUACAUAUUUAUGCCAACUUCAAUAGGUUUUUAUGAUAUUUCUAUUCAUAUUUUAUGUAAACGUUUGUUGUUUUUUGCGUAGUGUACCGGAAUGCAUAAAUACCUUUGACAUGUAGCAUAAUUAGUAUCAGUAUAUAUCAUAAACUGGUUCUAACGAGCCUAACUGCAUGGCUGUUGGAGAGACCCUAUAUUUAUGGCCAUGCAUGUCAAUUCAUUUUCUUGCAACUCACAUUUUUGUCAUUCUAAAUUUGUGCGCAUGCAAUAGUAAACAAAUUUUGUAUACAAUGUACCGCAUUGCAUAAAUAUAUUCGAUGUGUAGAAUAAUUAGUCUCAGCGGAUAUCAUAAACUGGUUCUAACGAGCCUAAAUGCAUGACUGUUGGAGAGAUCCUAUAUUUACGGAGGAAAUUAAGCAUUUAAAUCAGAUUUUUUGUCUCCAUGCAUGCCAAUAUAUUUCCUUUGAACACACAUUCUUGCCAUCCUAAAUUUAUGCGCAUGCAGCAGAAAACAAAUUUUUUCGCGCUGUAUCGCAGUGAAUAAAUAUCUAUACCGUGUAACUUAAUUAGUGUCAGUAUAUAUCAUAAACCGGUUCCAACGAUAAUACCUGCAUGGUUGUUGUCAAGAUGCUACUUUUAUGGAUGAAAUAAAGUAUUUAAAUCAGAUUUUUUGUUUCCAUGUAUGCCAAUCUUUUUCCUUUCAACCCGCAUUCUUAUCAUCCUAAAUUUUAUGCGCAUGCAGCAGGAAACAUAUUUUUAUGUGGUAUACCACACUGCAUAAAUAUCUACACAGUGUAGCAUAAUUAGUAUCAGUCUACAUUAUAAACUGGUACCAACAAGCCUACUGUAUUGAUGUUGUAGAGAUCCUAUUUUAUGGACAAAAUAAAGCAUUAAAAUAAGAUUUUUUGUUAACAUGCAUGUCAAUCCAUUUUCCUCUCAACACACAUUAUUGCCAUUCUAAAUUUGUGCACAUGUACCAGGAAACUGAUUUUUUACGCAGUGUACCGUAUUGCAUAAAUAACUGCAUUGUGUAGCAUAGUUAGUAGCAGUAUAUUUCAUAAAAUGUUUCCAAUGGGUCUAGCUGCAUGGUUGUUAUUGAGAUCCUAUAUUUAUGAAAGGAAUAAAGCAUUCAAAUCAGUUUUUUGUUUCCAUACAUGCAACAGUUUACGCAUACACUUCCUAAUUUCUCGCGCAUGCAAUAGGAAACAAACUGCGCGCAUGCAAGGAAUGGACGUAUGCGGGAGUUGGGUUGGCGGGCACGCUACGGUGGUGCAUGACUGGCUGGUUGGGGCUUCCUGUAUGCUAUGGAAGGCCAGGGCUCCCAAUAGCCUUACCCUAUAUAUAUGAUAUAUGAUACAUAUAGGAGGAAGUAUUUCAACGAGCCCAAAAGGCUAAGGAGAGACCUGCAACUGAAGCUAGUGAUGAUAAGGGGACAAGGUCUGUAAGGGAAUCUUCAGCAACUACUUUGAUGACUACACCAAUGUCAUCUCCCCCUACUAUUCUCACAUGGAAAUAAUAGUUCUAGCAUUCUUGGUUGUAAUAAAGAGUUGUUGCUGAAGUAAAUGUAGUUCUUUCUGUAGCCAAAAAAACUUUAGUUGGAUUUCACAUGAUAUGUGUUGAUGAAAAUAUGUUUUCAUAUGAAUGACAUCAUGAGGAAGAACUUUUGCAUAUAGAGUGUUUGGGUAUAUGUAAUAUGUUGUAUGCCAAAUGCAACUUCAAAAACCUUGGUAACAAUAUAGAAUUAGUGUCUUGAUUUAUGCUAUUCACUAUUAUUUAUAACUUAGAAUGGAGACUUCAUUGCAGAAGCUUCAGAGAAGAUUUCUGAAAGAAUGGUUUAAUCUACAAAAUAAUGAAUUACUGUAUUUUUUGUAUCAAAUGCCAUAUGCAGAGGUAUUGUUUCAUCGAGGACUUCCAUUCUUCUAGGGACAAUAUGUAUGUGUACUGGAUUGUGCAAGCAAUUACUGAUUACUUUGAUAUGUGGAUUCAUGCAUACACUCUACAUCAUUCAUGGUUUUAUCAUAUUGUGUAACAACCUGAAUUUAGGGGUAUAAAAUUAAUUCUCUAAUAUCUGCCAAAUUCAGGUGUUACCCUCUCUUUUCCUUACUCUUCUUCUCUUUUUUAUAAAUAAUGGAGAAUUAUUUUGUUUAUACUAGCGUAAGCCUAGUGGAAUGGGCCCUAGAGGUGCUGUGUUUAUUGCAUUCAUGCCGUUGCAUGGUGUUUCUAAGUGCAAAAUAUGUUUGAAACAUAUUAAUAUGCCUUUUAGAAGCCUUCAGUAAUUUUUCAUAUUUUUCGGAACAUUUUCUAUUUCCCGGAAACCAAAAUCUAUUUAUUUGAGGUACUUAAAAAUGUUUUUAGAAACUAUAACAUGUUGUUUUGAGUUCACUAGGUACCAAAACAUUUGUAGAAUUUUUUCUGAAAUUUUUGGAAGCAUCUACAAUAUUUUGAGCGCAAAAUAUGGAUUUAUAGUCUUUUCUGAAUUUAAUAAAUAGUAAAAUCUGAAUUUGACCCAAAUUUUCAUCUUGUUCGAACCCUAGCUAUAUAUAUGACCGGCUUUUCCUCGCCGAGCACGUUCCGAAUGACAAACAGUUUUCCCAUAUUCAUUCCCCAUCUCCCGGAAUUGCUCACUGAAGUUCGGAGCAGUUCCAACUCCGACGACAAAUUCGAUGAUCAAUUACUUCCAAUCCGCGCUUCGUCGGCGGAAUCCAAGGGUACUGCUAUGUUCGUCUCAUCGAGGGCUUCGUCUCGGUGUGUCUGGUUCGUCGAUCAGACCCAUGAAUCUUCGUCAAUCAACGUUUUCCUCCUCAGCUCGAGCGAGUGUUCCUUUUCGGGUGAGCCUUCUCCAUUGUUUUCAACAUUUGUUCUUCGUUUUCUUCGAGUCAAUAUCCAUCCCACCCCUCCCGGCCGCCCUCCACCCCGCACCCCUCCCCUGGUCGCCCCUACUCCGCGUCCUCCCUCUCUUCCUUUCUGUAAAGCCCAAAUUUUGUAUCAGAAUAAUAAUAAUAAUUAUUAUAUAAAUAAAUAAAUAUAAUUGUAGUGACUUGGGAUUAUGGAACCUUUGGAGAUCAUUUGAUUUUGUUUUAUUUGUGCAUAUUCAGUUAAUGUUAUUAUAUUGGUUAAGCAAUAAAUAAAUAAAUAUAAAAAAUGCAUAUCGUGCUAGAAUUCUUGUAUGUUUGCGUUUGUACUCAAAUUUUCGAGACAAUUUGAAAAGUAGAAUUUGUAACACCUAAAAUACCUAUUUUGGAAUUUGAAAGAGGUUCUCCAAAAGAUGUGAAUUAAAAUGUCUUUGAUAAAGAUCUUCAUAUCCAUAAAAAUACUUUCUUGGAACACAUAAAUGAUAAUAUUAAACUCUUCAUAUAUAUAUACAUAUGUUUGAAUACUGAGACUGGAAUUCUAAUAAAAUAAUAAAAUAAAAUAUAUAUAUAUAUAUUUGUACAUAGAUUAUGUUUGUUUGGAAUACAAUCAUUCCUAUUAGGGCUUGUUUGUUUCCCUUCAUUUUGAGGAAUUGGAAUUUAACUAAUACAAUAGGUUAUUUUUUAGUGUGACAUUCCACAACUUUCCAAAGUAUAUAUAUAUAAGCCUAUCUCAAAUUCAUGGGGUGAGAGAUGAAAAUUUAUUCUAUAGAUUUACAUGCUACUUUUCUAUUGUACAAUUUAUAGCACACUCUUCUACUUGUUUCUGUAUAACAUAAAUGUAGUGUAUAACUAUCAAUCUGAUAUGAUUUAGGAUAAUAUACAAAUACAUUACAGACAUAUAUAUAUAUAUUAACUCAAUUAGUUUUGUCUAAAUUAUAAUUAUUAGAAUAGAAUUCAAUUCCAAUGAAACAAAUGGGGCCUUAUUGAAUUAUAUAUUUUUAUGCCUCUAUGCUUAAAGAGAUAAAAUAGAUAAGUAAAAUAUAAUGGUUGCAUUCAUUCUAGGGUUUUGCUUGUGUGCAUUCAACCAGGAAAUUUGAACCCCAAAUCAAAUUGAGUUUGGAACAAAUCUGGAAUUUGUGAUUAGUUUUGGAAUAGAAAUUCAAAUAGGAAAAGAAAAAGAAAAAGAAACCCUGGCCCACUCGCCAUCUCUUUCCCCUUCAUGAUGGACGUGGAAUCACUAGUAAAUCGAGCGGAAUCCGGAAAUGACCUGGGGGAAAUCGGCCAGGGAUUAGUGCUAUUUUCGCGGGGUUGUUGGGAUUCGGCUUUGCCUUGUGGCUAUAUGACUCGGGCCUCUCCCCGUUGAACAACCAGAAGACCACUUGCGCCGGGAUCCAUGGCGGCAAACAGAGAUAAGAGAGAGAGUAGGCCGAGGGGGAAGGGGUAAUGAAGGUGCUCGGUGUGACCCGCUGGUGUCUCCAUCGACGAUCUGCUCUUGGGCAACCAAUGCUGGCAGUAGCCGACCCGGUUGUGCGCGCUGAUGGAGGAGGAGCUGGUCGCCACUCGACAGGCGCGGGGCAUCGUACUCAUGGUGGCGGAGAACUUCGUCUGCCGCGUGGUGGUCGUCGUGCUCGGCUGCCACCUCACCGACAAGUACUCUUGGGGGGCCGGGUCACUCAGGAUGGCUCGUGAACGCAGCUCUGCCGCUGUGGGCGCGCUGGCGUGCUCGUCGUCAAGGGCUGCGCGGGCACUGCUAUAUCCACAGCCAGAGGAAGAAGACCAUCUCGCAACCGUCCGAUCCGGAUUGCGGAUGGGAUUGGAUCCGGAGUUAACCCAAUGUGAACCAUCGAUCUCGUGAUCAACGGGCAGUGCAGGAUGGGGAGUCCAGAUCUAAUCAGAUCUGUUGAUAGUUGAUCUUUCGACCCAGAUUUAUGGAUACCCUUUCGUCGUGGCGUGUUUGCAAAAGAACCCUUGACUUUAGUCUGAACCAACCCACAGUCCACUCAGAUAGACAAAACCUUACAUGUAAGUCCUAUUUUUAACUAAAUAGCCCUUGCGUCCCUAGAAAAUUAUAACCGCGUCCAGGGACAUUAGUAAUUCAUGAAACAAAUCAAGGAAAUGAUUUUUAAGUAUAGAAUAAACCCGAAAGCCUUAGAAAAUUCAUAUAUCUUGCGUUUAAACCCCGAAUUAAUCCGUUCAAGUUGCGUCGGUUUUAUAAUAAAAUUGCCUACGCAGUAAUAACAAUAUUUGUGUCAUAUCACAGACUUUCAUAAUGAGAUAUUCAUUUAACCUAUGUUCUAACCUUUCUAGAUCAAAGUUAAUCUGUUGAUAAUUAUAACCUGUCUAAAAUAUGUUCUCUAAUUAAGACAUAACUUGGGUUAGGGAUGAAUUGAGGAGUUUAUUUAUAGUAUCUUUCCCACAUGCUUUACAUAGAAUAUAACCUUCAUAACUGUUCACAUAGAUAUUUCGAAAACCAUAUCUCUUCAACCAUAACCCAGAAUUUAGCAAUCUCGAACCCAUGAUCUCGUUACGAUGCGUAGAUUAUUAUUAUGCAGUUUGUUCUUAUGUUUGGUGUAAUAUUAAUUUUGCCUAUACCAUGUUUGUUUGUAUUGCUACGACUAGCGCGAAGUCACGAGUUACUUGAAGAGCAAGUUGGUACCUGGAAUCUCAAGUCCCAGGCAAGUUGUGCCCUUGAUCAAUUCUUUUUACCCAGUCAUGUUCUUAUUAAUCAUAAUGAUCUGCAUAGGUUAAUUUUGAUGGGACCCAAUAAGUUAACCUAGUUCGACUAUCUUUAUACCUUGUUUACCACUGCAUUUUUGGGUAGUGCAUGCUAUUGCUUUAUGUGGGUUUUGGUAUGGAGAUAUACAUUAUUCAUGAUCAUACUUUAUUAUCAGUUUGUCAUUUACUGUUCAUGAUAAGAUCAUUAUGUUAAUUGGAACAUGGAGAACCACUCGGGAAAACAGUGCUACCACAAGGGUGGUAUGGGACGCCCUUGGCUGACUAAUUAGGAAAGCUAGUGGAGGACUACCUUACCCGAAAGGGGCAAGGGCAGUAGGGGAGUGGUUAGUGUGGGUAGGCCCUUGGGUUGAUUUUGCUGUGAUGGCGGUCAGGCGAGUGGUCCCUGCAUUGGAGCUUCCUAGAAACUGUAGCGGGUUUUCUGAAGCUAGUGGAACUUUGUAAAGGCCUCGUAGUGUUACCCUGCCUCGCCUCCUCAGUAGAGGUGUAUGGGAAGUCAAGAUCCCUUGGUAGAUGGGUAACAUGACAUGUGGGUAAAGAUGCGCAACCUCCACAGAGUGUAAAACUGGUAUACUAGCCGUGCUCAUGGUCAUGAGCAGCUCGGACACUCACAUGAUUAAUUUAUGGAACUAAAUUCAAUUUGUCAUGGGAUUAUUUUUUUAUUUACUAUUACUAUGGUUUGGUAUUCACUUACAUUUAGUAACUACUAAUAAAACUUUGACCAACUUUAAAAGCAAUGCUCAGCUCUAACCAUCCUCUUUGGUAAGCCUUACACUUCACAUGAGCUCCCACCUUUGGCGAGUUCAUGCACAUUAUUCCCCACAACUUGUUGAGCGAUGAACGUAAUGAGCUCACUCUUGCUAUCUCACCCCCACAGGUCAAGAACAGGUACCGCAGGAUGAGGCGCAUGGAGGAUGCUGUGAUGAGUUCGCGAGAGGUCUAGGUCAUCGUCUUCCAGUCAACUUUGGGUUGCUAGAUCGUUGUCUCCUUUCGAUGUAUUUAUUUAUUUAUUUUGUACAGAACUCCUAUUAUAUAAGUAAAGAUGUGACAUUCGUUUCUGUACCACGAUUCAUCAUAUGUGUGAGACUUGGUCCCAGCACACCUGGUAAAAUGUUCGCGCCUGGGUCUUGGUGCCCCCGAAACCCGGGUGUGACAGAAGUGGUAUCAGAGGGAUGUUGACUAUAGGACAAAACUUAGAUAGAACUGGAUAACCCUUACCUACUUACCUUUGCUACUCUGAUUCUUUCUAAACUUUCCUUAAUCUUUUCUCAUCCACUGCUGCUUUACUCUGAUUAUUCUUACCUUUUCACUCUAAAGACAAAAGUGGAUUUCACACUUUGAAAUCCUGUGCCUAAAGUGACCUUUAGGAAUAGGAGACCUACUCAUAGGAACAAAAACAAAAACAAUAUUUUUUAUAGGUAUCUAUGUACUUCAAUGUUUGUUCUUAUGAUACUUAUCUGAUUUGGAUCUUUGAUUGAGUGUGAUGAGUUGUGAAGUAAUGUUCACAAUUACAUCUGCAUAUACAUAUAGGAAUAAAAUGUUUAUAGAAAUAACUAGAUAAACUAGAUUAUCCCUUGUUGGGGACUUGUUCUCAAAUGUUAUGAGUUAAGAACAAGGCAACACAAAAUGUUAAUGGUUAAAGUUCUUCGUCCUUCGAAGCAUUAUUUCUCAUAGGAUAUAAUGAUCUUCAGACGAAGGUCAUGAAGGACGUACCUUCAUCAUCGCAGUAUAUAUUAAUGAAAGAAAAAGCAUAUGAAACAUGAGAAAUAAUAUGAAUAAUCAUAUGACCCCUUAAUAUAUCUUUUUAUAUCAUCAUAAAUGAACAUGAACAAUAUUGAAUUACAUUUGUACCUUCGGUUUGACAGAAGGCAAAAGUCCAAGCGUGACGCACGAGUGAAUACAAGUCAGCGUGAAUAGUACAGGGGUACUGUUCAUCUAUUUAUAGGCACAGGGCGUAGCCUGUGUAAAAUUACAUUCAUGCCCUUCAUGUUUACUAUUGACUUAAGGACAAUCUAUCGAGGACUAGAUAGCCUUUUCCUCUUUAAGUCGGUUCCUUUUUCUGCUACUGAGCCGAAGCUUCCUUGCGCGUGUCACACCCGGUUUUGGAAGGCAAAUCGAAUGCGAACCAUGUACGUGCCAAGACCAGAAACUCACAUACACAAUGAUUACAUAAUUGGACAUCGUCACACAAUGAUCGAAAUAAAUAGCGGAAAGGUACUUGAUUACAUCAAGAUGUCCAAGACAUCCACAGAGUCUAAUACAUAACCAUUGUUCAACAUAAUUAUCAAGCUGCGGAAAUACGAAGAUGCUAAGCCUACAUAGGCAACUGACUGGGGGUUUGCCACUAAGAAAGAACUAGAACUGGUCAUAUUCCUGAAACUCCUCGAAGUCAUCCAUGUUGCGAGCAUCACCUCCUGAGCAUUGGGUACACUAGGGUGGGGGUGGUGUGUAAAGCAAGGGUGAGUACACAUCAAUGUACUCAGCAAAUGUCCCGUUUGGCUAAAGUGGACUAGCUAUAUAUGGAGCUGAGGUUAAGCAGUUGCAUUUAGUUGGUCAAGUAUUUAUUACUAUUAGUAGUGCCAAGUUUUAGUAAUAAACCUCGUUAUUACCCAGAAGUACCUCCUCAAAAGAGGAAAUACCAGAGAUCAGAUUUUAUAACAUCAUUGUUAAUCAUCAACAUAAAAGUAUCCAAAGUUCUUCUAAUCAAAGAGGAUCCCAAGGCUGCUCUUAACCGUGAGCUCGGCUGAUAUACCAGUUUUUAACACUCUACAGAGGUUGUACACUUUACCCACAAGUCGUGAUCCCUUUCCAGCCUGGGUUGUACAGACCCGAUCUUCACUACCCAGGUGAAUGGCCAGGGAUACACUACAUAGCCUUUACAAAGACUCCCCUGGUGCAUAGCUGCUCAUUAGGUUUCGCCAGUCGUACAAACGUAGUACACCUCCCCAAGGUGGGUGACUAACAAAACCAAAUCGAAAGAACCUCUGCACCCCAACCUUAGCAGAGCGAGCACUGCGCCCCGACCCCCAUUGACGGCCCUCCGGGAAAGCCAACUACACCCCGAGGUUCAUCUAAUUAAUCAGCUAAGGGCGUCCCAUUCCACCCUCAUGGUUGUACUGUUAUCCCAGGUGGUCACUCCACGAACAGGUCCUUACGGAGAGGUACUCAGGAAAAAGUAUCGAGCCCCCUAAGGUAUCACAAGAUCAUCCACAUAAUCAGGAUAACAGUAUCGUAUCAUAAAUGUUCACAUCAUGUUCAUUGAUUAAGUUAAGGCAAUAGCAACAUGCUAACCAUGAUAACCCAAAAAGGUAAACAAGGAUAAGUGAAUACAAACUAGUCAAUCCUUAGGUUUCAUAAAGUAAUGCGGGACAGUGAAUCAUAAAGUAUGUAGGACAUAAUGGGUCAGAGGACACUUGCCUUCACCAGAUGAUUGCUCAGGGAGGUCUCCAACAACACACUCAGGAACCUCGGUCUGCUCGUUGUCUAAAUAAAGCGAGCAUGCAUUCAAUACAUUUGGAAAGUACAAAUGAACAUCACACCAAACAUGUACAAACAUUGGAACACAUCUUAAAAAUACACAAUACUACAUAAGGGGUAAUGAAUUCAGAGUAUAACAUAAACUAUUGCAUACAUUAACUUUAUUUGAAAAUAGAUUAUUAUUUCCUUAGGUGUUAUUUACAAGUACAUAAUCAUAGAUCAAUUUAUUUUAUGGUGACCUAAAAUUUAGAACAGAGAUGAACUUAUGUAAUACAUACUAUCAAUCUCACAAGCUUAAACAAGUUUAAAUCUCUAAGGUUCUCCUUUUAUUUAUUUUAUUAAAUAAAUGAAACAUACAUCUACAUUAGUUCAUAUUCAAUCCUAAAAAUUAGAGUGUGCAGUCAGUAAGUGAAACCAUUUUAUUUAAACAGAGAAUAAUUCUAUGAACAUUUUGCAAUUUGAAUCACUAAAUUUGGAGUUCAUAUGCAAAAGUUAUGAAAUAAACAAGUUUGGGAAUUCAAAAUAUGAAAUUAGGGCUAAUUAUGUGAAUAUUUAAAAGUCCAGGGCUAAAUCUGCAAUAUUACAAGGGUCUGCGCGCAAAAACCAGGGACGACGGGUUGAUUUCCAGUAAACCAAGGGUCUCUUUAAGAAAACUACCGCGCGAAGGGGUAUCCUGUGAAUCUAACCGUCAGAUCUAAAACCAACGGCUAAGAUUAGAUCUGCGGCCGAGGGCGCGCGCGCGAGCGGGCGAGCGCUGAUAGGCGGGCCAGGGAGUGUCAGCGACAGAGGGGGAGAGUGUGCUGACCAAGCGGGCCCAGCGCUAGGGGGUUUGGGCGCUGACAGGCGGGCCAAGGGCGCAGGGCAUGCGUGCGCGAAGCAGUACCCGCGGUCCGGGCCAUGCGAUUAGGAUCGGACAGAGGGGAUCAGACCGUGGGAAAAAAGACGGCUGCGGGCGGCGCUGCUCCUUUCCGCGGCGGUGAGGUCGCCGGAGUUGAGGCAGGCGUGAGCUAGGGUGGUCCGAGGUCGCCGGAGUUGGGCAGAGAGGGAGAGGGCGCCACGACAAACUCAAUGGCGGGGAAGGGACCAUGAAUCCACGGACAGAGAGGGGAGAACAGCGGUGAGAAAGCCUCAGGCGGGCCGGAGUAACUCCGGUGAGCCAUUCCGGCCAUGGGGAGGGGACUUAAGGCGCGCUAAGGCCUGGGCUAGCUUCAACAGAGGCAUGGGUGACACAGGGACCUACUCCGAUGAACUAGACCGGGCUAAAUCGGCCGGCCACCGCGCAAUAGGGGAAAUUGGGCACGGGGCGAGUGUCUCACCUCGAGGCGGAGCUCAAUGAGGCUUGGGGCGGUCUCCGGUGAGCUGGAUGGUCGGGAACGCGGGCGCGGGUCUCUGGCGGUGGCUGGCGGCGUGAGCAGAGCGCGAGAGAGGGUGAAGCUGAGCGAAAUGAAGCGAGGGGUGUGCGCGGGGCAUUGGCGGGGCUCUAAGAAGGGAGCUGGGCGCAUGGACGGGCGUCGUGGCCGAGAAAUCUGGCGACGUGCGCGAGUGCGCACGCGUCGGUCCACGGCGAGCGCGAAGGGGGCAGAACUGACAGGGCAGGCCCACGACGCAGAGAGAGAAGAAAAGGGGUGCGCGGGGCAACGACUCGACGACUGACGAUCUGGGCCCACGAGACAAAGAGAGAGAGAGGGAGCGAGCGGGCGAAGGAAACUGGCGCCGACAGGUCAGCCCCACUGGACAACGAGCGAGAGAGGGAGGGCGCACGCGAGGGAGAACUGCCGCUGACAGGCGGGGUCCGCCUGUCAGACGGCACGGGCGCACGGCCUGGCUGGGCUUAGUGGGCCGACUGGGCUGCUUUCCCUUUUUCUUUUUUUCUGGAUUUUCUAAUUCCUUUUCUAUUUCUUUUCUAUAGGGUUUUCAAAUCCAAAUUCAAACUAGGUUUCAAAUUCAAAUAACUUCAAACUUGUGCAACACUUCAAAGAAUAUUUUAAGCUAAGCAUGAUGCAACAUGUCAUGACUCAUAAGGUUUUGACAAAAAUAAAUAAUUAACCUCCACUAGUUUAAGCUAUUUCUAAUAAAAAGGAAAAAGAGAAAAAGAAUCUAGAGAGAGAGAAAGCCUAGAGUGAGAAAAAGAAGAGUAACACAUGAUUUUGGGUGGUAAUUAGAAAGAAAUUUUAUACCCCAAAAUCAGGGUGUUACAGCACGUAGCUUCGGAGCUAGUUUGACCUUUGUCUGACCAUGCUUUUCAUAUUGUGAACAGCUUCAUUCCGAGUCCGAAGGUUCCUGUACAUAUAUUACACUUGGGAAACAUUGUUAAUCAUGUUUUUGAGGACCUUCGGAAGACAAAGGCCCCCAACAGUAGCCCCUCGCAAUAUUAAUUUGUUAUAACAACGAAUUUAGACUGUGAUGUGAACGAAGGCCUUAAGCCGAAGGUCCAAAAAACACCUUCCCUUUGCUAGAAUAGCAACAGUCAAUGACAAACGGGGUCCACCAAGUUGCAAAGCAGUGGGCAUAUAAAUAUGAACCAUAGCGGCAACAUUUGAUACGCCAUUUCUGCCAUUUGCGUUAUUUUCUCAAACUUUUAGCUCUUGCUCAUUAGCUCUUGCCUGAUUUUCGAGUGUUUAGAGCUUCGGUUUAAAGACAUGUUUGGUCCAAAUUUGAAAAGAAGAAGAUGAGUGGAGAGAAGAAAAUGGUUGAAGAGAAGAAAAUGACCAGGGAGACGAAGCUGUAUGAAGAGAAAAAAGUUGCAUAUCCUUUCAUUGCUGAAUUUAUUGAGUCCAUGGCAAAAACAAAUACAGAGAAAUUACUAAGGAGAUCAUGGAGGGUUUAUCCGAAGAUUCUGAUGACAGUGAUUGUUAUGAUGUGGAAAGUGGGGAUGAAGACUCUGAGGAUCGGUCGUGGCGCCCAAGCCAUACUAUCUUCGAAAAAUCGACUAUCAAGUAGAGUCAUAUUGAUGCCAUGAGGGGGAGAUAUUUUCGUGACAUGUCUAUUGUCAGAGUUGGAGGAGACAGUACUGCCCCUGCUCUGGAAGAAAACAAAGUUGUUAUAUACCAAAGCUUCUUAAAGGCAGGUCUUCGGUUCCCGCUGAGCAAGUUUGUGGUUGAAGUGCUGAAGAUAUACCAGAUCUUCCUCCAUCAGAUUACCCCCGAAGCUAUAAUUAGGAUGGGGAUUUUUGUCUGGGCUGUAAGGAGUCAGGGGCUAGAGCCAAGCGCGAAGUACUUCUCCAGUAUGCAUGAGCUUUUAUAUGAGACGAAGGCUACUGGCAAAGAACAGUACCACAACAACUUCGGUUGUUAUGGAUUUAUUGCUCGCCCCAAUGCAAGCCACCCAGUGCCAACAUUCCGGAAAAGAUGGCCCAGGGCCUGGAUGGAGGAGUGGUUUUACGUUAAAAAUGAUUUAAAGGCAAGGAAAGACAUCAAAGAAAUCAUUCAGCGCCCCAUCUGGUCUCGAUUCGGCCUCCGAAGGUCGAAGGUGGAAAUUGAUGGCAAUGUCCAAGCAUGUCAGAGGGCCUUUAGUACUGUGUGUGCCUUCACUGGCACAAGGGAUUUGAUUCAAGAGCAUAUAGCCUUCAGGGUAUGGCCACUUGUGGAGAGCUGGGAUAUGCCGAAGGAGACCACCGCCGAUUCUAGUGAGGGUGGUCUAAUCCGAUUGAAGUAUACCUUCAGAUUUAGGGAAAAGUUUGAUGAGCCAGACGAUGACUGGAUGAAGUGUAUCAAAGCUACCAGCGAUGAGUUACUUGGGGCAUACUCCCAGGCCGAAGAUAAUGCUUUGUCCGCAGCUUUCGGGGGUCGGGGCAAGAAAAGAUUGAACAUGGUAUUUGAUGCUAUUGGCUUCAUAUACCCUGUUACCAUUACCUGCUACGAGGGCAAGAGAAAAAGAGAAAGACUAUCGCUUCAGCCAUUGCAGCUGAGCCGAAGGGCAAAAAGAUGAAGGUUCUGAACCAACUGUGGGCGCCAAUGUUGGGGACUUGUUCUCAAAUUCUAUGAGUUAAGAACAAGGCAACACAAAAUGUUAAUGGUUAAAGUCCUUCGUCCUUCGAAGCAUUAUUUCACAUAGAAUAUAAUGAUCUUCAAACGAAGGUCAUGAAGGACGUACCUUCAUCAUCGCAGUAUAUAUUAAUGAAAGAAGAAGCAUAUGAAACAUGAGAAAUAACAUGAAUAAUCAUAUGACCCCUUAAUAUAUCUUUUUAUAUCAUCAUAAAUGAACAUGAACAAUAUUAAAUUACAUUUGUACCUUUGGUUUGACAGAAGGCAAAAGUCCAAGCGUGACGCACGAGUGAAUACAAGUCAGCGUGAACAGUACGGGGGUACUGUUCAUCUAUUUAUAGGCACAGGGCGUAGCCUAUGUAAAAUUACAUUCAUGCCCUUCAUGUUUACUAUUGACUUAAGGAUAAUCUAUCGAGGACUAGAUAGCCUUUUCCUCUUUAAGUCGGUUUCUUUUUCUGCUACUGCGCUGAAGCUUCCUUGCGCGUAGCUUCGGAGGUGGUUCGACCUUCGUUCGACCAUGCUUUUCACUUGGGAAACAUUGUUAAUCAUGUUUUUGGGGACCAUCGGAAGAUGAAGGCCCCCAACAUCCCUCAUUAAAGUAUCUAGCCUAAUAAUAUCCAGCUCAUCUUAAAAGAUUCUAUCCUACACUCAUAGAUCUAUCUUAUCUUAAAAGAUACUCUAUUACCUUAGUAGAUUCAUCUUAUCUUAAAAGAUACUCUAUUACCUUAGUAGACUCAUAGAUCUAUCUUAUCUUAAAAGAUGUCAUCCUAAUAGAUCUAACUUACCUCAAAAGAUUCUACAUUAUCCUUAUGGAUUCAUCUUGCCCUAAUUAGCAUAUUUGUCCCACUCUAGAAUAACAACCAUGAGCUAAUCCAAAAUUUAUUUUGAUCUUAUCUAGUCUAAAAUAGUUAUAUCAAUUUAUUUUAGAUCUGAUCCAAUCUAAUAGGUUAAUCUAACCUAACGAAGUCUAACCUUAAGUUGAGCUAACCUAAGGACAGUCACUUAACCAGUUAAUAGUGGUAAAAUAAAUGAGACUCUACUCCUAUAGAACAUUUUUAUCUUAGUUCAUUCUGCACUAAAUAAAGCACGACAAACCAACCCGACCAUAUGCAACUACCUUAACCAUCAGAUAGUUGCAUAACCCCUCUGUUUUAAUCUGACAGAGAUUCUGACCUACCUACACCAUAUGAUCCAACAGAUUCUAACAUAUCCUAAUAGCAUUUAUCCUACCUUAGUAGAUCUAUCUAAUUUAAACUAGCCUAAUCCAGUCAUAUACAAAUGCGAAGCUCUAAUCUCUGAGCUUUGCGGACUUAACAGAAAAUAGUGUAGCAAAUAAAAAUAUAUACAUAUAUAUAGGAAAUCUAUAAAAUGUCAGAUCUUAAUCUUAGUUAUUGACUAGUUCUAAAUUGGAAGUUCCACUUAGAUAAAAAGGAUACUAGAAUUUCAUAAAGAUAAAGUCAACUUGAUAUACUUAACUAAAUGAUAUUGUUAAAUAGGAUUAUAGAAUCUAAUGUAAGUUGCUUAAGCAAGUUCGAUAAUGCUGGUGGCAUAAAUUAGACCCUAGUCCUAUAAACAUGAUUAACCUAAACCGGUUCCCUAUACUAGCUGAGCCAUAUACAAGUACUUGACCUAUGCGUUGGGUUGCAAAAUCUGUAUAGACCGGCAUAAAAUUAUAAGCACCCAAGAUUUGCAACUACCAUAACUUAUCCUACCCACAUCUACCUACUUGUCCCUAAAUAAAUUAACCAGAUCUUAACUAGUUUAAUCUAAUCAUACCAACCUAAUCUAGACCCUAUCUAAUCUAAUAUGAUCUAAUCUAGUGUGAGUUACUUAAUGCUGGUACAAAGGAGAAGGCCAUACUCCUAAUUCACUAAAGCUUAAAUUGGUGACUUAGAUCAACUCGGCCAUACACAACAACUUGACCUAUAGAACAGGUUACAUAGCUUAUCCGACCAAUCCAGAAGCAAAUCACCAAACUAAAUUCUGACUAAUCUCAUUUAACUUAUAGCUACCUGAAAGAGAAAUAGGGUUUAACCUUUUCCUAUAAAUAAUUUUGGUGGUUGAAUGUCCAACACAAAUAAUUGGACUAACUAGUUUGCUCUAGAUUAUAUAUUCUACAGGUGCUAAAGGUUCAACACAAACCAAUAAAAAGAUCAAGUUACGGUUCAAAAAGAAAGGAGCAAAAAAACCCAAAGAACACCCUGGUCUGGCGCACUGGACUGUCCGGUGUGCCAGGGUCGUACGAGUCUGAACUUGCCACCUUCGGGUUUCAGAAAAGCCGCUCCGCUAUAAUUCACCGGACUGUCCGGUGCACCAGCGGAGCAAUGGCUCCAGCGCAACGGUCGACUGCAACGGACACCUGCAAAAGUGCUACAGUGUGCGGACAGUUCGCGCAGAGUCAGAGCAACCGCCAGAAGGCGCACCGGACAGAGAACAAUACCUGUCCGGUGUGGCACCGGACUGUCCGGUGCCACAUGAAGACAAAGCUCCAAUGAUCAAAACCUUCAGAAUCCUAACAGUUGGGUGACGUGGCUGGCGCACCGAACACUGUCCGGUGGUGCACCAGACUGUCUGGUGCGCCCAUCGACAGCAGCCUGCCCCAACGGUUGAAUUGGUGGUUGGGGGCUAUAAAUACCCCCAACCAUCUCCAGUCCAACCAUCCAAGCAUUCACAACUGUGCAUUCAAUACAAGAGCAAUACACUACACUCCAAGACACAAAUCAAAGCCUCCGAUCAAAUCAAAGUCCACAAUUCAACUCUAGUAUUUUAGGACUUGUGAGAAGAUCGUCUUGUGUUUCUUCGUUGCUCUUGUUGCUUGUUUGGCUUUCUUCUUUCUCUCAUUCUUACUCUCAAAGCCUUGUAAGCGAAGCAAGAGACACCAAUUGUGUGGUGAUCCUUGCGGGGUCUAAGUGACCUGGGAAAUCAAGGAAGAAAGCUCACUCGGUCUAAGUGACCGUUUAAGAGAGGGAAAGGGUUGAAAGAGACCCGGUCUUUGUGACCACCUCAACGGGGACUAGGUUCUUUGGAACCGAACCUCGGUAAAUCAAAUCACCGUGUCAUCCACUUUAUUUUCUUGGUUGAUUUGUUUUCCCCUCUCUCCCGGACCUAACUUUUAUUCUAACACUAACCCCAGCUUGAAGUGUGCUUAAAGUUUGUAAAUUUCAGUUUCCGCCUAUCCACCCCCUCUAGGCGACUUUCACUACCUACUAAACCUUUUGUCCCUAACUCGGAAGGAGACACAAAAGCUCAAGAAGGAAGAGAUCAAUCUCAUCAAGGAAGGAUAAACACCAACACAAGUCUUAAAAGACCAAGCUAGAUCCCAGAUGAGUCAAGAUCCACCAUCCAUGAUGGAAUAUUUACUUGCCCUAAUCCUUAUUACCCCAACUUUCUCUACUUCUGCCUAAUAGCUAAGCAUAAUAGAUCCAUGUGUUCCUAAUCAUCUCCUUGUUUAAUGACUUUAAUUUUUUUUGAAAACAUUUGUGCUUAAAAACACUUGAAAAAAACUCGAAGCGAAGCUACAACCAAACAUUUGGUUUUCUAUAUCUUUUUUCUUACAAAUCUCGAGGAUGAGAUUUCUUUUAAGGGUGGUAGGACUUGUAAAGCCCAAAUUUUUGUAUCAGGAAAAUAAUAAUAAUAAUAAUAAUAAUGAUAUAAAUAAAUAUAAUUGUAGUGACUUGGGAUUAUGGAACCUUUGGAGAUCAUUUGAUUUUGUUUUAUUUGUGCAUAUUCAGUUAAUGGAAUUAUAUUGGUUAAGCAACAAAUAAAUAAAUAUAGAAAAAUGCAUAUCAUGCUGGAAAUCUUGUAUGUUUCCGUUGUUGUCGGCGUUUCGAACCCGGGGGGUCCCUGGACCGACGAGUAAAUUGUCGCCGCGUGCCCCAGCCCAGAAGGGUCGGCGCGAGACGGAGCGCGAAGGGGGGAGAGAAGCCGGAGGGAGACAUGCAUAAAAGGGGAAACCCGCGGCCUUCGUGUUUGUCCCGCGCCCAGGUCGGGUGCGCUUGCAGUAGGGGGUUACAAGCGUCCACGCGGGAGGGAGCGAGAGGCUUACGCGAGCGCCGUCCCGUCCUUCCCCGCGCGGCCAACCCUUUGUAAGAGGGCCCUGGACCUUCCUUUUAUAGGCGUAAGGAGGGGGUCCAGGUGUACAACUGGGAGAUGUAGCAGUGUGCUAACGUGUCUAGCGGAGAAGAGCUAGUGCCCUAAGUACAUGCCGUCGUGGCAGCCGGAGAGGUUUUGGCACCCUAUUCGUGUGAUGUCGUGGCCGCCGGAGGAGCGCAGGGGCCUGGCGGAAGGACAGCUGUCGGGGCUGUCGAGUCCUUGCUGACGUCUCCUUGCUUCUGUAAGGGGGCUGAGAGCCGCCGUCGUCAUGGAGCAUGCGGGGCGCCAUCAUUACUUGUUUACCGGGGCGAGCCAGAUGGGACGCCGGUCUUGUUCCCCGUAGCCAGAGCUAGCUAGGGGUAGGGUAAUGAUGGCCCCUCCUGUGACGUGGUCGGUCCGAGCCCUGGGUUAGGCGAGGCGGAGGCUCCUCCGAGGUCGAGGUCGAGUCUGUCUUCUGAGGCCGAGGUCGAGUCCGAGCCCCUGGGUCGGGCGAGGCGGAGACCGUCGGCUGAGGCCAGGGCUGAGUCCGAGCCCUGGGGUCGGGCGAGGCGGAGUUCGUCGUCUUCCGGGGCUGAGCUCGAGUCCGAGCCCUGGGGUCAGGCGAGGCGGAGUUCGUCGUCUUCCGGGGCUGAGCCCGAGUCCGAGCCCUGAGGUCGGGCGAGGCGGAGUUCGUCGUCUUCCGGGGCUGAGCCCGAGUUCGAGCCCUAGGGUUGGGCGAGGCGGAGUUUCCUAUGGCGCUCGAGGCCGGACUUGGCUGCUGUCAGCCUCACUCUGCCGAGUGGCGCAGCAGUCAGAGCGGCGCAGGCGGCGCUGUCCUUUUGUCAGGCCGGUCAGUGGAGCGGCAAAGUGACUGCGAUCACUUCGGCUCUGUUGACUGAAGGGCGCGCGUCAGGAUAAAGGUGUCAGGCCACCUUUGCAUUAAAUGCUCCUGCGAUACGGUCGGUCGGCGUGGCGAUCGGGCCAAGGUUGCUUCUUGGCGAAGACUGGGCCUCGGGCGAGCCGAAGGUGUGUCCGUUGCUUGAGGGGGCCCUCGAGCGAGACGUGAAUCCUCCGGGGUCGGCUGCCCUUGCCCGAGGCUAGGCUCGGGUGAGGCGAGGUCGUGUUCCUUGAGUGGACCGAGCCCUGACUUAAUUGUACCCAUCAGGCCUUUGCAGCUUUGUGCUGAUGGGGGUUACCAGUUGAGAUUAGGAGCCUUGAGGGUACCCCUAAUUAUGGUCCCCGACAGUAGCCCCCGAGCCUCGAAGGGAGUGUUAAUACUCGCUUGGAGGCUUUUGUCGCACUUUUUUGCAAGGGGACCGGCCUUUCUCGGUUGCAUUUUGUCUCGGUGGGAACGCGCGAGCGCACCCGCCGGGUGUAGCCCCCGAGGCCUCGGAGGAGUGGUUUGACUCCAUCGAGGUCUUAAUGCGUUUCGCGAUGCUUCGGCCGGUCUGGUUGUUCCCUCAUGCGAGCUGGCCGUAGCCUGGGUGCACGGUCGGGUCCCACGUUCUCGGGCUGGUAUGUUGACGCUGUCAACGGUUUGGCCGGAGCCGGGUUUGCGAGAGCAGCCCCCGAGCCUCCGCACAGAGCGAGAAGACGGUCAAGGACAGACUCGACUUUUUUACAUAUGCCCCUGCGUCGCCUUUCCGCAAGGAGGAGGGGGGAAAAGCGCCAUGUUGCCCUUGGAGGGCGCCGAACAUGGUGUCUCUAGUGAGCUGCUGACGGGUAAUCCGAGUGGACGCCCAUGCCCCAUUUGUUAGGGGUCGGCUAGAGGCCCGGAGGCGCGCUCCAAAAGUACCUGCGGGUGAUCUGCCGGACCUGGUCCCCUUUUGACGGGGUCCGAGGGCUCGAUGCCUCCCUCUGAUGGGAUUCCGUUACAAGAUCGUUCCCGCUGGUCUCGGAAAUGUCCUAGGGUACCUCGGGAGCGUAGCCCGAGCCUUGGUUAUGUAUCGAACGUACCCAGGGUCAUCCCUCGCUCUGCGUCUGAGGCGGCUGUGAACCCUUCGAGGGCCAGCCUGCGAACCCCUGAUCAGUAGUGGGCGCAGAGCCCGAAUGGCCUGAGGCGGCCGUUGAACCCUUCCGAGGGGCCGGCCUUCGAACCUCUGACCAGUAGUGGGCGCGGAGCCCGAGCGCUCUGAGGCGGCUGUUGAACCCUUCCGAGGGGCCAGCCUUCGAACCUUUGAUCAGUAGGUGGGCUCGGGGCCCGUUUCCUUCGCGGAGAAGGAUCCCUUUUGGGGUAUCCCCUUUCCCGGUCCCAGUUGUAAGAGAGAGAAAGAGGAAGAGGAAAAGGAUACGAAAUCGAAUGAUGUGGCACACCUUUUUUGUCGCGGUCAUUAUGGCAGAGGUGAAGCGUCGCCUGCUUCGCCCGCCAAAGGUGCCGCCUGUCCCGUCGCAGAGUUAAUACGACGGGACGAGUGGUUCGCGGGGCAGCCAUUGCGCGUGCGAGCCAUUCGAGGAACGGGUGUUUCGCUUUGAGUUUUGAAUCCCGCGACGGGUUCGGGCGACAUGUUGAACGGGUCUUGCCUGGGUCUUUAUAUAUUCGGGAGAGGGGCCGGUGAUGGUUCUUUGCUCUGCUACUUGCCUCCUUCUUAGGUUUUCACAACCCGAGGGAAUAGCCAGAGAAAAGGAAACCGCCCACCCAGUCCUUUCCGCCGCCACCUCCUCUGCUUGGUGAUGGCCGACCGGGUGACCAUUGUUCCGCCGCGCGACCCAUGGCCUUUCUCCACCGUCACGGCGGAUGACCUGGAGGCCCUCGUCGCUGAGGGUUUACUUCGCCCUCUCUCCGAUGAGAGGCAGCCGGAGUGGAUGCCCCCCCCCGAGCGGAGCCACCCCGUCUCUGCCGCCGGGGUAUGUCGUGAGCUUCGUCUCCUUUCACGAACGAGGGUUCGGAGUGCCGGCAAGCCGUUUUAUGCGGGCGAUUCUGCAUGUCUACGGGGUGGAGCUGCACAACCUCAGCCCUAACUCCAUCUCGCAAGCCGCCAUCUUCGCAGCGGUUUGCGAAGGGUACUUGGGGAUUGACCCCCACUGGGACCUAUGGACUCAUUUCUUCUCCGCGGAGCUUUUUGCUUCGCCGACGGGGGAGAGAAGGGUCCGCGCGGCAGUGCGGGCCGGUGGCUGCAUCCUCCAGCUGAGGCAGGCGCGGGCGCCGCAGUAUAUUCCCGCCAUCCUUGCGUCCUCGAACAAAGGGUGGCAGCACCAGUGGUUUUAUCUCCGAAAUGACGACAGGAGGCUCCCGUCGUUUUCUCAACGAGUGGUGAUCGUCGCCGCCGAUGCCUGGCGCUACGGGACCCCGCAUGACAGACAGAAGAAUCUCCAGCCCCUUCUGAAGGCCCUGGAGGUGUUGCGGAAAGGAGGGCUCACCGCUGCGGGAGUGAUUGCCGCCAUUCAUCGCCGGAGGGUGCUUCCCUUGACGGAGCGGCGGUUGCCGCUUUGGGAGAUGACGCCGGAGGCCGACUUGGAGGGUUCGUGGAUGUCCUUGGAUCCUCUUUCCGUCGGCGACCUCCACGGGCGGGUAGCCGUCGCGUUGGAAAAACCAGAUGCCGGUGCCCUUUCCCAGCCCUUGAUGCGUCCCGACCGCGGGUGUGUGUCCCUGGUGAGUGUCCGCUCCUUCUUUCUCCUUACGUCGGAUUGCCCUUGGUUCUCACAGCCGAGACUUUCUGUCUGUCCCCAGGAGGUAGGGUGGCACAAGCCUUCCCGGCCUCCGGUCCCGGAGGACGCGAUGGACCGAGCUGCGCAGAGGGUUGCCGCGGAGAAGAGGAAGGAGAAAAAGGACGCGAAGAAGGCUCGGGCCCGCGAGCGGAUGCGGGCUCGGGACGCCUUGGAAAGGCUCCGGCGUCGGCAGGAGAGGGAUGGGCUCCCGAGGGAGCCAUUGCCGGAAACGCCUGACGACGACGACGACGACGAUGAAGACGAUGACGAGGACGACGAUAUGGCUGCUCGCCUUGGCCUUAGCCCGAAUCUGAGGCUGGGACAGGAGUCGUCAAGCCAGCUCCCGAGCGGGCUAGCGCCGCCGGUUUCCGGGGCCGGGACGUCGGGGUCCCGGUCCGAAGAGCGGGGGCAGACCGAGGGGGUACUUGACCCCUCGGCUGGGGAAGUUGAGGUGACCCCGGGGAGUCAGGCCAAGUUGCCUGUUCCCCAAGAACCGUCGCCCGUGCCGGCUGCGUAGGAGGGCGAUCCUCAGGUCGUCGUGGCUACGCCUGGGCAGUCCGUCUCUCGGGCGUCUAGGGCGCCCAAGGCGAGGAUGGUACCAAGGCUAGCAGCGAGGCAGACCUCGGCGGUACCUUCGGGGGUCGAGGUUCGAGAGACCUCCCCACAGGCACGGUUGAUCAUGGCCCGGAGUGGGUAAGUACCUUAGGAUGUCUUCGUCCUGGCUCCCCCUUUGUAUGUCCCGACCCUGACUUCCCUUUUUUCCUUUAGCAAGCGGAGUCACGGUCCGACCGAUCUGGCUCCCCGGAAGGUCCUCAAGACGGCGUCGGCUUCCGCAGCUGGUGUCGCGCCGGGCCUCGCCGGCCAGCUGACCUCCUCGCAAGACGCCCCACAGCGGGGGGCUCAGGCGGCACCAGUUGCCGUGGAGCGAGCUCCCGAGGCUGGCUCUUCUGUCGAGGCGGCCAUCGCGCUGGGGGAUGCUGCUGGCACGGCCGUGGCCUCGGGCCCACCAGACGUGCUGUCGGCGCUGGCGCCGGCCACUGCCGAGGCCGUUGCCGUCCUGGCCGUGGAGCGACCCAUCGCCGCCGACGCUGAGAUGGCCGAGGCGUCGCUACUUGGUGCCUUGGAGGAGGGGGGCACGGGACCGCGACCCGUCCCAUCGAGCGGCAGCCUUGUAGCCGCGCGGCGCAGCUCCGAGGGGCGGCGCCAGUUGCUUCGGUUCCAGACCCGUGAGGCCUCGGAUCCCUUCUUCGUUCUUGACGAUGAGCGGGAGGAGCAGUCUUGGGACGAGCUCCGUGAGUGUGCCGAGGCAACGGUGGGGUCGCUCCGGUCAUCCUUGGAGGUCUUUUGCAGGGACGUUCCCAAGAUCCUCCAGGUAAUGAUUUCAGGCAUACCUUUCUCGUGAUCAAGGCGUUCUUUGUGACGCCUCGCUUCCUUUCCUCAGGAUCUGACGGAUCUGAGCGCCGCCAAGUCGUCGUUCAUCCGCCAUGAGGUCGAUGUCUAGGGUUCGCUGUGGUCCCUGAGGACCAUGCUUGCCAGGGCUACCGCGCACCUCUCCCAGCAGAGCGCCGAGGUGGCGGACCUUCGGUUGCUCUGUGCCGACCUGGGAGCAGAGGCAACAGCGGCACAUGCAGAGGUGCAGCGGCGGCAGUUGGAGCUUGACCAGGUCACCGGCGAGUGGGACCAAUCUCGGGGCCGGGCCGUCGAGGCUGAAAGCCAGGCCGGAGCCCUUGCAGCAGACCUAGCCGUGGCCCAAGCCGCAUCCUCGGAGCAGCGUGCCCGAGCCGGAGGUACGUCUUGGCUGUUUUACGUUUUUGCUUCAGCUCAGUUCCUCAACUUGCGUUUGAGGUCUUGCGCUUUGGCUGUUCGCAGAGCUCGAGUCUGCCCUUGAUAAGUCCACCAAGGCGCUUGCUCAGGAGGCCGAGCAGAGGGAGGCCGACCACGCGGCCAUGUCUGAUGCCAUCUCGGCUUUCUGCCGGGUCGUCGGCUUCGACGAUGUCCCCUCGGGAAGCUCCCCUCAAAGUCGCCUGCAGGCCUUGGGUGACCACGCGCGUGGCAGGCUCCGCGAGGUGCUACAUCACGGCGUCAGGCGGGCCUUCGCCGUGCUUGCUUCCCACUAUGUCGUGGAUCUGGAGCGGGUCAGCGAGGGGUAUUGCCUCCCCGACGAAGAUGAAGCCGCCCUGGCCGAAGUCCAGAGGCUCGACGCGGCCGUCGCGGGCCCGAGCGCGGUGCUAGCAACCACCUUCGAGGCAGAGAUCCUCCCGCUUGCGCCGUCGUCCGAGGCCGGGGCGGACCUUGCCGAGGGUGGGAACGAAGCCGAGGGCGCGGCUCCUUCUCCGGGCGACGCCUGACUCUGCCGGAGCAGUCUUCUUUGAAUGCACAUGUGUCUUUUGUGGUCACUGAGGCCCGAACACUUUAUUAUCGUAGUAUAAGUUUGUGUUCCUUUUCCUCCCGUUUUGCGUAUCUGUCCCCGUUCGUCGGUAGCAGGGUGGCUUGCCCAAGUAAGAGUCAUUUUUCGUGGUAGGUGACGAGUGAGGUAUCCGUAUCCCAGAGGCGUAGGAGUCCCUCGGCUCGGUCGGCCUUGCCACUUACAUGCGCCCUCAUUUGCUUCUUGGGGUCCUUCUACUGAUAUAGCCGGGGAACGCAGAAGCCUUUUUGAUGGAAGACUUUUUUCGAGGAAAAUUUUGACGCAAGGGGGUUCCCCUCCUUCUAGCCCCCGAGGGAGGGUCGGGCUUUGCCGAGGCAAGGCUGACCCUUCCUUGAUGACUAGACUUUGUACGUGAGCGAGUUAUAUGAACGACUUGAAAACAUCUUAAGGGUAGAAGCGACGUAGCUGUUUGAUGUUCCAAGCGUUGCUGUAGACCUCGCCUUGACUGUUGACCAGUUUGUACGUCCCGGGCUUCAGAACUUUGGCGAUGACGAACGGCCCUUCCCAGGGAGGCGUGAGCUUGUGCCGCCCUCAGGCGUCUUGCCGCAGUCGAAGCACCAAGUCGCCCACCUGGAGGUCUCGGGACCGAACCCCUCGGGCGUGGUAGCGUCGCAGGGACUGCUGGUACCGCGCCGAGUGUAGUAAGGCCAUGUCCCAAGCCUCUUCCAGCUGGUCCAGUGAGUCUUCUCGAUUAGCUCGAUUGCUUUGGUCGGCGUAGGCCCUCGUCCUCGGGGAACCGUAUUCUAAGUCUGUGGGCAAGAUGGCCUCGGCCCCAUAGACUAGAAAGAACAGUGUGAAGCCCGUGGCUCGGCUCGGCGUUGUCCUCAGACUCUAGACCACAGAGGGGAGCUCCUUCAUCCAUCGCUUACCGAACAUGUUGAGGUCGUUGUAGAUCCGCGGCUUGAGUCCUUGCAGGAUCAUGCCGUUGGCACGCUCUACUUGCCCAUUCGUCAUGGGGUGAGCCACGGCGGCCCAGUCCACCUGGAUGUGGUGAUCCUCGUAGAAGUCUAGGAACUUUCUGCCGGUGAACUGGGUGCCGUUGUCAGUGAUGAUGGAGUUUGGGACCCCAAAACGAUGGAUGAUGUUGGUGAAGAACGCCACCGCCUGUUCGGACCUGAUGCUGUUUAGAGGUCGGACCUCGAUCCACUUGGAGAAUUUGUCGAUGGCGACCAGCAGGUGCGUGUAGCCCCCGGGCGCCUUCUGCAAGGGACCGACGAGGUCUAGACCCCACACAGCAAACGGCCAGGUGAUGGGUAUCGUCUGCAAAGCCUGAGCGGGCAGGUGUGUCUGCUUCGCAUAGAACUGACAACCUUCGCAUGUGCGGACAAUUCUAGUGGUGUCGGCCACCGCCGUCGGCCAAUAGAAACCUUGUCGGAAAGCGUUUCCAACAAGGGCUCGAGGCGCUGCGUGAUGACCGCAAGCCCCCGAGUGUAUUUCUUGAAAAGCUCCUGGCCUUCAGUGAUGGAUAUGCACCGUUGGAGGAUGCCUGAGGGGCUGCGGUGGUAGAGCUCCUUCCCGUCCCCCAGCAAGACAAACGACUUGGCGCGCCGCGCCAACCGCCGAGCUUCGGCUCGGUCGAGGGGUAGCUCUCCUCGGUGGAGAUAUUGCAGGUACGGGGUCUGCCAGUUUCGAUUAGGCGUGACUCCGCUCCGCUCCUCCUCGACGCGCAGUGCCUCACCCUCGGGGGCCGAGGGUGCCUCGGGCCGAGCCGAGGGUGUCUCGGGCCGGGCCGAGGGUGCCUCGGGCUGGGCUAAGGGUGCCUCGGGCUCGGACGCGUCGUCGGUCUUGACAGAGGGUUGAUGCAGGUCUCGGGAGAAGACGUCCGGGGGAACCGUUGUUCGCCCCGAAGCUAUCUUAGCUAGCUCAUCCGCAGUCUUGUUGUAGCGUCGGGCAAUGUGGUUGAGCUCGAGCCCGUAGAACUUGUCUUCCAGGCGCCGAACCUCAUCGCAGUAGGCUUCCAUCUUCAGGUCGCGGCAGUGGGAGUUCUUCAUGACUUGGUCGAUGACGAGCUGCGAGUCACCGCGAGCGUCGAGGCGUUGGACCCCCAGCUCGAUGGUGAUGCGCAACCCGUUGACCAGAGCCUCGUACUCGGCCACAUUGUUGGACACCAGGAAGUGGAGGCGUAGCACGUAGCGUAGGUGCUUCCCGAGGGGCGAGAUGAAGAGCAGGCCCGCGCCUGCCCCUGUCUUCAUCAGCGACCCGUCGAAAAACAUGGUCCAGAGUUCCGGUUGGAUCGGAACUGUUGGGAGUUGGGUAUCGACCCAUUCAGCCACAAAGUCCGCCAAGACUUGGGACUUGAUGGCCUUCCGAGGGGCGAACGAGAUUGUCUCGCCCAUGAUUUCCACCGCCCACUUUGCAAUCCUACCCGAGGCCUCUCGGCACUGGAUGAUCUCCCCCAGGGGGAAGGAUGACACCACAGUCACCGGAUGAGACUCAAAGUAGUGUCGCAACUUCCGCCGCGUCAGGAUCACCGCGUACAGCAGCUUCUGAAUUUGUGGGUAGCAGAUCUUGGUCUCGGACAGUACCUCACUGAUGAAGUAGACUGGCCUCUGGACAGGCAAUGCAUGCCCCUCUUCUCGUCUCUCAACCACGAUCGCGGCACUAACCACCUGAGUGGUAGCGGCGAUGUAGAUCAAGAGGGCUUCUCCGGCAGCGGGUGGCACCAAGAUGGGCGCGUUCGUGAGGAGCGCUUUCAGGUUCCCGAGGGCUUCCUCGGCCUCAGGGGUCCAAGUGAAGCACUCGGCCUUCCUUAAGAGGCGGUACAGAGGCAGGCCUCUUUUGCCGAGGCGCAAGAUGAAACGGCUCAGAGCCGCAAGGCAUCCCGUGACCCUCUGUACGCCUUUUAAGUCCUUGAUGGGCCCCAUGUUGGUGAUGGCCGCGAUUUUCUCCGGGUUGGCCUCGAUGCCCCGCUCGGAGACGAUGAACCCCAAGAGCAUGCCUCGGGGGACCCCGAAGACACACUUCUCAGGAUUGAGUUUUACGCCUUUCGCCUUGAGACACCGGAAUGUCGUUUCAAGGUCAGAAAGGAGGUCGGAGGCUUUCCUCGUCUUGACUACGAUGUCAUCGAUGUAGGCCUCGACCGUUCGACCAAUGUGUUCGCCGAACACAUGGUUCAUGCACCGUUGGUACGUUGCACCCGCAUUCCUCAAACCAAACGACAUGGUAACAUAGCAGUACAUGCCGAAGGGUGUGAUGAAAGAAGUCGCGAGCUGGUCGGACUCUUUCAUCUUGAUCUGGUGAUACCCUGAGUAGGCAUCAAGGAAAGACAAGGUUUCGCACCCAGCAGUGGAAUCCACGAUUUGAUCGAUGCGAGGCAGAGGGUAGGGAACUUUCGGACAUGCUUUGUUUAGACCAGUGUAGUCUACACACAUCCGCCAUUUCCCUCCUUUCUAUCUCACAAGCACAGGGUUGGCAAGCCAUUCGGGAUGGAAUACCUCUUUGAUGAACCUUGCCGCCAUUAGCUUGUGGAUCUCCUCGCCUAUGGCUCUGCGCUUUUCCUCGUCGAAUCGGCGCAGAGGCUGCUUCACGGGUCGGGCCCCAGCUCGGAUAUCCAGCGAGUGCUCGGCGACAUCCCUUGGUAUGCCGGGCAUAUCCGAGGGACUCCACGCGAAAACGUCGGCGUUCGCGCGGAGGAAGUCGACGAGCAGUGCUUCCUAUUUGGGAUCAAGCUCAGAACCGAUCCGGAUCUGCUUGGAGGCGUCGUUGCUGGGGUCGAGAGGGACGGAUUUAACCGUCUCCGCAGGCUCGAAGUUGCCAGCGUGGCGCUUCACGUCUGGCGCCUCUUUGGAGAGGCUCUCCAGGUCGGCGAUGAGGGCCUCGGAUUCGGCGAGGGCCUUGGCGUACUCCACGCGCUCCACGUCGCAUUCGUACGCGUGUCGGUACGUGGGGCCGACGGUGAUGACUCCGUUGAGGCCCGACAUCUUGAGCUUGAGGUAGGUGUAGUUGGGGACGGCCAUGAACUUGGCGUAGCAUGGUCUCCCCAGCACGACGUGGUAGGUUCCUUGAAACCCGACCACCUCGAACGUGAGGGUCUCCCUUCGGAAGUUGGAGGGCGUCCCAAAGCAGACGGGUAGAUCGAGUUGUCCGAGGGGCUGGACGCGUUUCCCGGGGAUGAUCCCGUGAAAAGGCGCAGCGCCUGCCCGGACCGAGGAUAGAUCAAUCCGCAGGAGCCCGAGGGUCUCGGCGUAGAUGAUGUUGAGGCUGCUGCCUCCGUCCAUGAGGACCUUGGUGAGCCUGACGUUGCCGAUGACAGGGUCGACAACGAGCGGGUAUUUCCCCGGGCUCGGCACGCGGUCGGGGUGGUCGUCCUGGUCGAAGGUGAUGGGCUUGUCGGACCAGUCUAGGUAGACUGGCGCCGCCACCUUUACCGAGCAGACCUCCCGACGCUCUUGCUUGCGGUGCCGAGCCGAGGCGUUCGCCACUUGCCCACCGUAGAUCAUGAAGCAGUCGUGGACCUCGGGGAACUCUCCUGCCUUGUGAUCCUCCUUCUUAUCGUUGUCGCGGGCCCUGCCACCCUCCGCAGGUGGCCCGGCCUUGUGAAAGUGGCGCCGAAGCAUGGCACACUCCUCAAGGGUGUGCUUAACGAGCCCCUGAUGAUAGGGGCACGGCUCCUUGAGCAUCUUGUCGAAGAGAUUGACGCCCCCGGGAGGUUUCCGAGGGUUCUUGUACUCAGCAGCGGCGACAAGGUCCGCGUCGGCGGCGUCGCGUUUCGCUUGCGACUUCUUCUUGCCUUUCUUCUUGGUGCCGCGCUGAGUGGACGCCUCGGGGACAUCCUCCGGCUGGCGGCCCUGGGGCUGCUUGUCCUUCCGGAAGAUGGCCUCAACCGCCUCCUGGUCGGAGGCGAACUUGGUGGCGAUGUCCAUCAGCUCGCUCGCCCUAGUGGGGGUCUUGCGACCCAGCUUGCUCACCAGGUCGCGGCAGGUGGUGCCGGCGAGGAACGCGCCGAUGACAUCCGAGUCGGUGACGUUGGGCAGCUCGGUGCGCUGCUUCGAGAAUCGCCGGAUGUAGUCCCGGAGAGACUCUCCCGGCUGUUGGCGGCAGCUUUGGAGAUCCCAGGAGUUCCCAGGGCGCACGUACGUGCCCUGGAAGUUGCCGGCGAAGGCUUGGACUAGGUCGUUCCAGUUGGAGAUCUGCCCCGGAGGCAGGUGCUCCAGCUAGGCUCGAGCGGUAUCGGAGAGGAACAGGGGGAGGUUGCGGAUGAUGAGGUUGUCAUCGUCCGUUCCACCUAGGUGGCAGGCCAGCCGGUAAUCCGUGAGCCACAGUUUCGCCUUGUCUCCCCCGAGUACUUUGUGAUAGUAGUCGGGGUUCGAAACCGGGUCAGGAACGGCGCCCAUCGUAUGGCCCGGCUGAAAGCCUGCGGACCGGGUGGUUCGAGCGAGGGACUCCGAUCCUCCCCGCUGUCGUAGCGUCCCCCACGCCUAGGGUGGUAGCCUCGGCGCACCCUCUCAUCGAGGUGGGUUCGACGGUUGCGGUGAGGGUGUUCGUUGCCGAGGAGACCCGGGGCCGCAGGCGCAGUGUUGCGCGUGCGCCCGGUAUGGACCGAGGCUUCCCGCAUGAAUCGGGAAGUCGCGGCGCGAUGCUCCGAGGGGUAGCCCUGCCUUCGGGAGGCAGAGCUUUCGGCCCGUCGGACCGCGGCAUCCUCCAGGAGAUUCUUGAGCUCUCCCUGGAUACGCCGCCCCUCGGUGGUUGAUGGCUCCGGCAUCGCGCAGAGAAGUAUUGCCGCUGCAGCCAGGUUCUGGCCGACCCCACUGGAAGUCGGUGGCGGCCUUGCCCUGACGUCAUCGGUGAUGCGGUGCUGGAUGCCCUGGGGUAGAUGACGCGCUUCUCCGGCCGGAGGUUGGCCCACCCAUUCCUGCCCGAUGUCCCGGCGGAAUGGCUCAAGUGUUCCUGCUCCCUCGUCGAGCCUAGCCUGCAUCUCGCGGAUUUGCUCGAGCUGUGGGUCAUGACCCCCCACCGGGACGGGGACCACAGCUAGCUCCCGAAGGAUGUCAACGCGAGGCGCAGGCCUAGGGGGAUCACCGUUCUCCGGUAUACUAAGAUGGUUGCCUUCGCCGGGACCCCCUAGAUCGACGUGGAAACAUUCACGAGUUGGGCCGCAGUCCUCGUCGCCGAGGCUGCGACUACCGUCGGAACAGUCGAAAAGGCAGUAGUCGCAUGCGGUCAUGAAGUUCCGCAUGGCACUGGGGUUGCCAAGUCCGGAGAAAUCCCAACUAAAGUCGGGCUCGUCAUCUUCCUCGGAGCCCGAGGGCCCGUAGGUCGAGACGAUUGUCAGCCGGUCCUAGGGUGACCGCAUACGAUACCCCAGAGGGUUUGGACUCGCCUCUACGAGAGCGUCCACCGAAGCGAAGUCGCUUGGUGGGUCGAGGCUUAAUCCGAAAGGCACGAGAUGGGAGUCGGUCGGUACCUCUUGGUCGACGGGCGGUGACGAAGUCACGUCAGGGGUAGACUGCACCGUCAUCUCAGGUACAAGGGUGACGCCCAGCAAGUCCCUCGCGAGCAUGCUGGUGUCGUCCGUCCGCUUGGAGUUGGCGUGUCGCGGGGAAACGGCGCUCGUCUUCGUCUCAGACGCGAGGUCGAUGUCCGACGUGUUCCCCGUUGGGGCGUCGGCGCCGUUGACUCGCUCGACAGCCGAUGAGGUGCCGCUUCCUGCUUGACCUUGGUUGCCCCGCCUCCUCCUCCGUCGACGGGGGAUGCGACGGGACAAGCCCGAAUGUUGUUCUUCCGCCAUGUGGAGAAGACAUCAUCGAUUCCGCCGCCGGCGGGUGGGUUGUCGGCCGCCAUUGUCGUCGUCGCGCGGCGGGGGAAGGAGUAUCAUGUCGUAGCUGCCGUCGAGGGACAAGAACUCAAGACUCCCGAAACGGAGCACCGUCCCGGGCUGGAAAGGUUGCUAGAGACUGCCCAUCUGGAGCUUGACGGGAAGCUGUUCGUCAACACGCAGCAGGCCCCUACCUGGCGCGCCAACUGUCGGCGUUUCGAACCCAGGGGGUCCCUGGACCGACGAGUAAAUUGUCGCCGUGUGCCCCAGCCUAGAUGGGUCGGCGUGAGACGGAGCGCGAAGGGGGGAGAGAAGCCGGAGGGAGACAGGCGUAAAAGGGGAAACCCGCGGCCUUUGUGUUUGUCCCGCGCCCAGGUCGGGUGCGCUUGCAGUAGGGGGUUACAAGCGUCCACGCGGGAGGGAGCGAGAGGCUUACGCGAGCGCCGUCCCAUCCUUCCCCGCGCGGCCAACCCUCUGUAAGAGGGCCCUGGACCUUCCUUUUAUAGGCGUAAGGAGGGGGUCCAGGUGUACAACUGGGAGAUGUAGAAGUGUGCUAACGUGUCUAGCGGAGAAGAGCUAGUGCCCUAAGUACAUGCCGUCGUGGCAGCUGGAGAGGUUUUGGCACCCUGUUCGUGUGAUGUCGUGGCCGCCAGAGGAGCGCUGGGGCCUGGCGGAAGAACAGCUGUCGGGGCUGUCGAGUCCUUGCUGACGUCUCCUUGCUUCCGUAAGGGGGCUGAGAGCCGCCGUCGUCAUGGAGCAUGCGGGGCGCCAUCAUUACUUGUUUACCGGGGCGAGCCAGAUGGGACGCCGGUCUUGUUCCCCGUAGCCAGAGCUAGCUAGGGGUAGGGUAAUGAUGGCCCCUCCUGUGACGUGGUCGGUCCGAGCCCUGGGUUAGGCGAGGCGGAGGCUCCUCCGAGGUCGAGGUCGAGUCUAUCUUCCGAGGCCGAGGUCGAGUCCGAGCCCCUGGGUCGGGUGAGGCGGAGACCGUCGGCUGAGGCCAGGGCUGAGUCCGAGCCCUGGGGUUGGGCGAGGCGGAGUUCAUCGUCUUCCGGGGCUGAGCCCGAGUCCGAGCCCUGGGGUCGGGCGAGGCGGAGUUCGUCGUCUUCCGGGGCUGAGCCCGAGUCCGUGCCCUGGGUCGGGCGAGGCGGAGUUCGUCGUCUUCCGGGGCUGAGCCCGAGUCCGAGCCCUGGGGUUGGGCGAGGCGGAGUUUCCUAUGGCGCUCGAGGCCGGACUUGGCUGCUGUCAGCCUCACUCUGCCGAGUGGCGCAGCAGUUGGAGCGGCGCAGGCGGCGCUAUCCUUUUGUCAGGCCGGUCAGUGGAGCGGCGAAGUGACUGUGGUCACUUCGGCUCUAUUGACUGAAGGGCGCGCGUUAGGAUAAAGGUGUCAGGCCACCUUUGCAUUAAAUGCUCCUGCGAUACGGUCGGUCGGCGUGGCGAUCGGGCCAAGGUUGCUUCUUGGCGAAGACUGGGCCUCGGGCGAGCCGAAGGUGUGUCCGUUGCUUGAGGGGGCCCUCGGGCGAGACGUGAAUCUUCCGGGGUCGGCUGCCCUUGCCCGAGGCUAGGCUCGGGCGAGGCGAGGUCGUGUUCCUUGAGUGGACCGAGCCCUGACUUAAUUGUACCCAUCAGGCCUUUGCAGCUUUGUGCUGAUGGGGGUUACCAGCUGAGAUUAGGAGCCUUGAGGGUACCCCUAAUUAUGGUCCCCGACAGUUGUACUCAAAUUUUCGAGACAAGUUGAAAAGUAGAAUUUGUAACACCUAAAAUACCUAUUUUGGAAUUUGAAAGAGGUUCUCCAAAAGAUGUGAAUUAAAAUGUCUUUGAUAAAGAUCUUCAUAUUCAUAAAAAUACUUUCUUGGAACACAUAAGUGAUAAUAUUAAAAUUUUCAUAUAUAUACAUAUGUUUGAAUGGAAUUCUAAUAAAAUAAUAAUAAUAAAAUAAAAUAAAUAUAUCUAUAUAUAUAUGUACAUAGAUUAUGUUUGUUUGGAAUACAAUCAUUCCUAUUAUUGAAUUAUAUAUUUUUAUGCCUCUAUGCUUAAAGAGAUAAAAUAGAUAAGUAAAAUAUAAUGGUUGCAUUCAUUCUAGGGUUUUGCUUGUGUGCAUUCAACCGGGAAAUUUGAACCCCAAAUCAAAUUGAGUUUGGAACAAAUUUGGAAUUUAUGAUUAGAUUUGGAAUAGGAAUUCGAAUAGGAAAAGAAAAAGAAAAUGAAACCCUGCCCGGGCCAACAUCCUCAUAUUCAGCCCAUCAUCACUUACCCCUCGUGCGGCCCAAGAAACACCGCCAACGCGCCGACAUGUGGGUCCCAUUUUCCAUACGCUCGCGCCGCACCACCGCCAUGCGAGGCCCAUUGGCCGGCCACCCAGUCUCCGCGCGCAAGCUCGUGCUUGUGGAUCGUUUCUCUGCUUGGUGGGGCCCACUCACCAUCUCUUUCCCCUUCAUGCUGGCCGCGGAAUCGCUAGUAAAUCGAGCGGAAUCCGGAAACGACCUGGGGGAAAUCGGCCGGGGAUUAGUGCUAUUUUCGCGGGGUUGUUGGGAUUCGGCUUCGCCUUGUGGCUAUAUACCCGGGCCUCUCCCCAUCGAACAACCAGAAGAACACUUACGCCGGGAUCCAUGGUGGCAAACAGAGAUAAGAGAGAGAGUAGGCCGAGGGGGAAGGGGUAGUGAAGGUGCUCGGUGUUACCCGCUGGUGUCUCCAUCGACGAUCUGCUUCUGGGCAACCAAUCGCUGGCCGUAGCCUACCCGGUUGUGCAUGCUGAUGGAGCAGAAGCUGGUCGCCAGGCGCGGGACAUCGUACUCAUGGCGGCGGAGAACUUUGUCUGCCGUGCGAUGAUCGUCGUGCUUGGCUGCCACCUCACCAACAAGUACUCUUGGGGGUCGGGUCCCUCAGGAUGGCUCGUGAACGUAGCUCUGUCGCUGUGGGCGCGCCGACGUGCUCGUCGUCGAGGGCUGCGCGGGCACUGCUGUACCCACAGCCAGAGGAAGAAGACCAUCUCACAAUUGUGCGGAUGGGAUUGGAUACGGAGUUAACCCAAUGUGAACUGUCGAUCUCGUGAUCAACGAGCAGUGCAGGAUGGGGAGUCCAGAUCUAAUCAGAUUCGUUGAUAGUUGAUCUUUCGCCCUAGAUUUCUAGACACCCUUUCGUCGUGCCGUGUUUGCAAAAGAACCCCUGACUUUAUUCUGAACCAACCCACAGUCCACUCAGAUAGAGAAAACCUGACAUGUAAGUCCUAUUUUUAACAAAAUAGCCCAUGCGUCCCUAGAAAAUUAUAACCGCGUCUAGGGACGUUAGUAAUUCAUGAAACAAAUCAAGGAAAUGAUUUUUAAGUAUAAAAUAAACCGAAAUCCUUAGAAAAUUCAUAUCUCUUGCGUUUAAACCCCGAAUUAAUCCGUUCAAGUUGCGCCGGUUUUAAAAUAAAAUUGCCUACGCAGUAAUAACAAUAUUUGUGUCAUAUCACAGACUUUCAUAAUGAGAUCAUCAUUUAACCUAUGUUCUAACCUUUCUAGAUCAAAAUUAAUCUGUUGAUAAUUAUAACCUGACUAAAAUAUGUUCUCUAAUUAAGAUAUAACUUGGGUUAGGGAUGAAUUGAGGAGUUUAUUUAGAGUAUCCUUCCCACAUGCUUUACAUAGAAUAUAACCUUCAUAUCUGUUCACAUAGAUAUUUCGAAAACCAUCUCUCUUCAACCAUAACCCAGAAUUUAGCAAUUCUUGAACCCACGAUCUCGUUACGACGUGUAGAUUAUUAUUAUGCAGUUUGUUCUUAUGUUUGGUUUAAUGUUAAUUUUGCCUAUACCAUGUUUGUUUGUAUUGCUACGACUAGCGAGAAGUCACGAGUUACUUGAAGAGCAAGUUGGUACCUGGAAUCUCAAGUCCCAGGCAAGUUGUGCCCUUAAUCACUUCUUUUUGUCCAGUCAUGUUCUUAUUAAUCAUAAUGAUCUGCAUAGGUUAAUUUUGAUGUGACCCAAUAGGUUAACCUAGUUCGACUAUCUUUAUACCUUGUUUACCACUGAAUUUUUGGGUAUUGCAUGCUAUUGCUUUAUGUGGUUUUGGGUAUGAAGAUAUACAUUAUUCAUGAUCAUACUUUAUUAUUAGUUUGUUAUUUACUGUUCACGAUAAGAUCAUUAUGUUAAUUGGAACACAGAGAACCACCCGGGAAAACAGUGCUACCACAAGGGUGGUACGGGACGCCCUUGGCUGAGUAAUUAGGAAAGCUAGUGGAGGACUACCUUACCCGAAAGGGGCAAGGGCAGUAGGGGAGUGGUCAGUGUGGAGAGGCCCUUGGGUUGAUUUUGCUGCGAUGGCGGUCAGACGAGGGGUCCCUGCAUUGGAGCUUCCUAGAACUGUAGCGGGUUUUCUGAAGCUAAUGGAACUUUGUAAAGGCCUCGUAGUGUUACCCUGCCUCGCCUCCUCAGUAGAGGUGUAUGGGAAGUCAUGAUCCCUUGGCAGAUGGGUAACAUGACUUGUGGGUAAAGAUGUGCAACCUCCGUAGAUUGUAAAACUGGUAUACUAGCCGUGCUCACGGUCAUGAGUAGCUCGGACACUCACAUGGUUUGGUAUUAUUAUUAUGCAUCGCAUUGAGAUUAUUAUUAUUUUUAUUUACUAUUACCAUGGUUUGGUAUUCACUUACAUUUAGUAACUACUAAUAAAAUUUUGACCAACUUUAAAAGCAAUGCUCAGCUCUAACCAUCCUCUUUGGUAAGCCUUACACUUCACAUGAGCUCCCACCUUUGGCGAGUUCAUGCACAUUAUUCCCCACAACUUGUUGAGCGAUGAAUGUAUGUGAGCUCACUCUUGCUGUCUCACACCCCCCACAGGUCAAGAAUGAGGCGCAUGGAGGAUGCUGUGAUGAGUUCGCGAGAGGUCUAGGUCGUCGUCUCCCAGUCAACUUUAGGUUGCUAGAUCGUUGUCUCCUUUUGAUGUAAUUAUUUAUUUAUUUUGUACAGAACUCCUAUUAUAUAAGUAAAGAUGUGACAUUCGUUUCUGUACCACGAUUCAUCAUAUGUGUGAUACUUGGUCCCAGCACACCUGAUAAAAUAUUCGCGCUCGGGUCUUGGUGCCCCCAAAACCCGGGUGUGACACUUUCCCCCCAUCUCUCCCCCUCGGCGCGAUGGUCGGCCGGCCACCCGUUCUACGCAGGGGCCGUGCACGCCCAUGGCCUGGUCGCCGGUAGCAGCGCCCCCUCCUUUGGAGCCCCACCAGCGGGCCCACUUGUUGGCGCAGUCGUGGUUGGCCCUGGCGGCGGCGGCCAUCCAGCCCGUGCGGCCAAGCCCUCCUCAUCCCACUUCUCCCAUGGCAAUUAUUGCAUGAGAGAGAGAUGUGGGGAAGAAGAAGACCCAUUUUGCGAAAAUGCCCUCAAGGAAACAAGUAAUAAACACCAUAUUUUAUGAGUCUUGUCAUUUUUACUGGCUAACCCCCAAAGUCUAUAAAUUAAUGACGUGUAGACCCCUGUAAUUUCAAACGUACAUAUCUUCCACGUGUAGACCCCCGUUUUGAGUCGUUCAAAUUGCAUUAGGUUCGUACUGACGUUGUCCACAUGUUAAAAAUAUUAUUUCACAAGAUCACAUGUUUCAAACAAUUUAUUAAAUAUUUGUUUGACUAGUGUUUAUUAAAUUAGCGUUCCAAUUAAAUCUAAUUUAAAGUUUUGACUCACGAUUUUAUAAAUAAACAUUAGAGUAGUUAAUACUGACCUAAAUACUUUUUAUUUAACAUUUGUUUAGUAUAAACGCGUCGUCUAUUUAAUAUUUCUCGCAUGUCGCGCGUGCUGUUCCGCACGCGGUGGUGUGCUGGUUCACGCGUCGUGCGCGUGCUGCCAUGCUGAUUCGCGCGUCAUUCAUGUGUUGUCGCGCGUAUUGUUUUGUACGUGUCGUCACACGUUGUCUGCUCGUGUCAUCACUCGUUGUCUGCGCGUGUUGCACAUGCGAGUCGUGUGCGCCGCCACGCGUCUUCCGUGCGCUAAGUCGAGAGUGUCCGUGUCGUUCGCGUGUUGUUCGCGUUGCGUUGCGCAUGUUGUUUCCCGUGCCGUCCACGUGCUGUUUCGCGCAGCGUUGUUUGUCGUCACACGUCAUUCGAGCGUAUCACGUAUGCCAUUUUCACGUGUCGCUUGCCUUGUUGCGCGCCAUUUUCGUGUGUCGCGCGCUGUCCGCGCGCGAUAUCAAAUCGUUUCGCUUAUAAUUGCUCGUGAUAAUUAAUUAAUUACUUGUUCAACCCGACAACGAUUAGAAUAGAAAAUUAAUCGAAGCGAAGUAGUAGUCUUGAUUUACAUUUGAUAAAGAUCAAUUAAUAUAAUUAUGCCGAAUUAAAUAUUCUAAUUAAUACUUAUUUAGUGUAAAUGUGAUUAUCGUGGUUUCUUUCAUCGCGUGACCGUAGACGCGAGCUAUAUUUUAUACAACACGUUUUUAUAAUGUUUUAUCUUGUAUGGUGUAAUGUUCUUAUGCAUGUAUUUAUUUGUUUGUACCGGUUUGUAUUCGCUAUGCGUCGCGAAUAGAUUGCGAUCUGUUCCUGAGCUUCGAGGAAUCGACGAUCAGGCUUCGACGACCAAGUGAAUAAGCUCCUCGAGUUCCACAUUGUUGAAGACUCUGAGCAUCUGUUUGGCGAAGGCAAGUGUCCACUGACCUACUUAUGUCCUAUUCACAUGAUAAUUCACUUCCCCGCAUUACACAAUUGAAACCUAAGGAUUGACUAGCUUUCUAUUUACCUUAUUCUUGAUUACCUUUUGGGUUAUUGUGGUUAGCUUUAUGCUAGCGCUCUACUCUAAUCAAUGAAAAUGAUGAGAAUAUUUAUGAUACAUUGAUGAUAUCUUGAUUAUGAUGAUGAGCUUGUGUUACUUUAGGGGACUCAGGAUGUUUCUCGAGUACCUCUCCAUAAGGACCUAUUCGCUGAAUGACCAUCCGGGAAAAUAGUAUAACCAUGAGGGUGGAAUGGGACGCCCUUAGUUGAUUACUUGGAGGAACUUGGGGGUGUAGUUGGCUUCAUCGUUGUGCCGCCAAUGGGGACCGGUGCAUAGUGCUUGCUCUGCUAAGGGUGGGUGUCGAGGUUCAUUCGAUUUGAUUUUGUUAGUCACCCACCUUAGGGAGCAGUACUGUGUUUGUAUGACUGGUGAAACCUAACGGGCAGCUACACACCAUGGGAAUCUUUGUAAAGGCUACGUAGUGAUACCCGGCCAGAUCACCUAGGUAGUGGUCAAUGGGGAGUAGCGCUCCUCGGGCAGAAGGGGAAUCACGGCUCGUGGGUAAAGUGUGCAACCUCUGCAGAGGAAUGAAACUGAUAUAUCAGUCGUGCUCACAGUUAUGAGCGGCCUUGGGAGCUCCUUUGAUUAGAGUUACAGAUGAUCUGAGGUAAAGUGGUUCCAUUUAUGGUUUUGGCUACGAUGAUGAUAAUGAUGUUCCUCGGUGAGAAAAUGAUUUUACGGGUUGGUUAUUACUAAAACUUGGUUUCUACUAAUAAUAAAUACCUGACAAACUAAAAGCAACUGCUUUGAGCCUAACCCGACAUAAAGCUAGUCCACCUCAGCCAAACAGGACAUUUGCUGAGUACGUUGAUGUGUAAUCACCCUUGCUUUCACAAAACACUAGGUUACCUUUGGUGCAAUCUAUGCGUAGGUAAAGAAGGAGAAGAAAGUGUCGAGGCAGAUCUCCAGGAGUUUCAGGACUCUACGAGUUCGAGGAUUAGGCUAGCGACCUCCCCUAGUAGGCUACCUGUGGUGGUUUUAUUUACGUUGGCUACAUUUCUAUUAUGUGCACUUUGAUCUAUAUUAUGUAAAUGGCUCUAGUCUGUAAUAUUAUUAUUUACUCUUUAUUAAUAUUCGAAGCAUUGUGCUAUGAUGAGUCAUUUAUGUAAUCGCUGUGUACGUGAAUUUUUGAUCUUGACACGUAAAUGGUUCGCAUUCGGUUUACCUUCCAAAACCGAGUGUGACAUAUUGUCUCCGUUGAUUCCAGUAUGUCACUAUAUAAUGCAUGAUUUAAUGUAGAUGGCCACUAGUUAUGUGUGCAAGUUCUAGUUGAUGAAGUGGCAAUAUGUUCUCACUUAUCAGUCCCUGAUAAGCUAAAAUUUCACCAAAACCUGGACAUAUAGGCCAAGUGCAGGUAACCAUAUCAUAAAAAAAAUGCAAUUAUCUUAUUUUUUUGUCAUGUUAUUUCUAUGUUGGAAAUAUAUUUUGGGCUAGGAGGAUGGCCAGACUAUGUACUCUACUUCUUCAUUUUCAGUAAAUUCCCUUUAGAUACAUAUUUGAAAAAAAAUAAGCUUAGAUUUUAUUAUGGCACAGCCAUACAUGGGCAUGAGAAAAAUUAUUGUGUAAACAUAUUUAACAAAUCGUUGAGUAAUGUAGAAACAUGGACCUUGAGAAUCCUGUAUUUAUGUACUAGGAAACCAUAUACUUAGGUAAAUCUUCAGAGGCCAUCUCUAUCUGUUCAUAGCCUUUGAUAAACUUGCUAUACCAUUUAGCAGACAGUUUUGGUGUUCGCUUUAGUGACUUGAAAUUCACAUGACAAAGACCAUACUUUACGGUGUAACCAGAGAUCCAUUCAAAGUUAUCCAUCAAAGACCACACAAAAUAACCUCUCACAUCUGCUCCUUUCCUGCACAGAAGUAGAAACGUUUUCUUAUUACCUGACUGGAGAGUAGUUUACAUGAAAAUAUAAUUGAGGCAUGCAACAACCUUAUUGCAAAGCUCAAGUAAGUGAGGUAGUCACGAAUGUAAGUUGAUCUUUCAGUAUCAUUAAUUAUUUCUUCUGUUGUAGUGCUAAUAUUGGCUAUUUGGGCAUAACCUGAAAGAUAAAAAAGGGAGAUCAAGAGAUCCAUACAGAUAUUUUUAUGGUACCAGUGUACUACAAGUGUAAUAUAUGUAAAGUAGCAUGGAAGUGAAUCAUUGUUAUGUACAAAUGCAUAUAUUUUGUAUCUAAUUUGUAGAUUUUAGUGAACCUAGUAACCCACCAUUCUCUGUGAUGUACAAAGGUAUGUUUUUAUAUCUCUGGUUUAAAUACAUGACCAACUUCUCCAUGGAGCUUGGAACGGCAUAUGUGUUUGCAACAGGUGUCUGCAGUAUUAGUUUAGCUAUGUUAACUUGUGCAGAAUUAAUUUGUAACUAGGAUUCUUGUUGAAUAGAAUAAUGCAAUAUAGAAUGCCGAUUUUUACCGGUUUUCCAAUGGGUAUCCCAUUUCGUUCUGUUGAUAUAGAAACUAAAGCUUCAGAAGGGUAGGCGUCCAUAUCACAUGGAGAAUAUAUGCAAUCCUUAACAUAGAAUGUUUGGUAAUGAUUUACCCCGAUGAAGUCAAUUUGGUUCUUUAGUAGUUUCUUCUCUCCUUCUGUGAAUUUUGGCAAGUUUGGACCUAAGAUUUGGCGCAUCUGGUGAGGAUAGUCACCAAAGAACAAGGGAUCCAAGAUCCUGUUUUAGCAUAUAUCAUCAAGUGAGCAUUCAUUCGUGAAGACCAAAAGUUAGUUCCAAUCAUAAAAUACUAUUAUGAUGGAAGAUUACUGAAUCAAUUGAUACCAUGGAGCAUUGAAAGACAGAGCUCAGCUUACUGCCAAGUGGUCCUCUGUGAUAUUCCUUAGUGGUUCAUACCAUCUUAGAUGUAAUGAAAUUCCUACAAAGCCACCUUGCUUGGACUGAGAAGGAUGGAGAACAAGGAAAACAAAUUAUACAACUUUCAUGAGUAUUUAAGAGCAAGCACGCAGUUAGUCCCCACUCCCUUUUGAUCCAAAUAUUUCUUUUGUACCUUGUAAUUCUUUCUGUAGAUGUUGACCGUCUUUGCAUGAGCUAAUAUCAUGUUAUGCGCUGCAAUGUAGGGCUCAGUUGAUGAAUUCCCUGAAUCACAUUUCCCAUAUGGCUCAGAACAGUGGUUGGGUGGAAAUGCCCCAAUGGAGUAUGCAAGCUUUACAACAAGAUUUGGCUCAUUGAAUGUGACCCAAUGCUUUACUCGGUCACCAAACAUCUUGAAACAAAGCUCAGCGAAGU